RNAcentral lists this long non-coding RNA (86614 nucleotides) under Gossypium raimondii (Peruvian cotton). The record is from RNAcentral. Lineage: Eukaryota; Viridiplantae; Streptophyta; Magnoliopsida; Malvales; Malvaceae.
AUGUUGUUUGGGAUGCUGCUAUAGCUAUUGCAUUGAAGGACUACCGUAUGCUUGUUUUGAGAGAUCAUGCUCCAAAGGAGUGGUCCGAUAAGGAGAAAAUGAAGACGUGGAGUGUGAUCAGCUUACGUUGUCCUCAGAUUAUAGCUAACCUUCCUAAGGAGAUGGAGUGUUCAGGACUUUCCUUUUGCCAUAUGGCCUAUGAUGGCGCCGUUAAAAUUCCUCUCAAUUUCUUCAAACAAACCGAAGGCCUCAAAGCCUUAGAUUUGGUCGGAAUGCAGUUUCCAUCCCUCCCUGAAUCAAUUAUUCACCUUGCAGACCUUCGCAUGUUGUGUCUAAAAAGAUGUGCAGUUGAUAACAUAACUAUCCUUGGAGAGCUCAAGAAUUUAGAAAUCCUUGACCUUGCUGCGUCAGGUAUCAAAGAACUACCUAAGGAGAUGGCACAAUUGACUCAAUUAAGGUUGUUAGAUUUGCGUGGGUGUAGAGAACUCAAAAUCAUCCCACCAAAUGUCUUAUCAGGUUUGUCUAAAUUAGAAGAAUUAUAUAUGAGUAGGAGCUUUGUUGAAUGGGAAAAGGGAGGAGUAGUUGAAAAUGAGAGGAAAAAUGCAAGCCUUGAUGAGUUAAACAAUUUGCCUUGUCUAACUACUUUAUAUGUUCAUAUUCUUGAUGUCCAAAUGAUACCAAAACACCGGUUUGUUGAAACAUUGGACAGAUUCAGGAUUUUCGUAGGUAAUUAUGGAAUGUAUGAUUGUUGCAAUAAUUAUGAAUCUCCGAAAGCAUUGAAGCUCAUGUUAUAUACAAACAUUGAUUUGGACAAUGGGAUGAAAAAGUUGUUGAUAAAGACAGAAGAUUUGUGCCUAGAGGGACUUGAAGGCGUCAAGAAUGUACUUGUGGAGUUAAAUAAUGGGAAAGAUCUUCCAAAUUUAAAGAGACUUCAUGUCAAAAAUGGUAGGCAUGUCCAAUAUAUUAAAACGAACAAAAUUGGAUUUUCUGAAUUAUGCUUCAUCACACUUGAAAAUCUACCGCAACUCGUUAGCUUUUGUUCUCCAGACGAAAGGUGUUCUACUAAGCCCUUACUACUUUUAAAUAAACAGGUAUUUGUUUGGAUUUACUUAUAUUUUCUUAUACAACUUUUACUUAUAUGCCCAUUAAUACUUCUACUAAUUGAAAUAAAUAAUAGUGUAAUGAUUUUUCCAGACUUCAAAAAUAAAUUUCAAAUCUAAAACAAACAAAAAUUUAAUUUUUAAUCCAAACCGAUUGAAAGUAUAAAGUCAAUUCAAUAAUCUAAAUUUAAACCCAACAAUUUUUUUUUUAAAAUUCUGAAAAUAAAAUUUGAGCCCACAAAUCGAACUAAAAUUAUCUUUAAAAUAAAAAAUUAUAUUUUCGUUACAUACUAUCUUUCCCUAUCGAAAAAGAAUUGUGUGUAAAUAUGUGCAAUUUGUUUUCCCUCACCUGGAAAGCUUGUAAUUGUGUUCCAUUAACACCAAAAUAAUAUGGCACAACCAGACAUGUCAUUGGAUUACGAAUUUGAGAAGCUUGAUCAUCAAAGGAUGCGGCAAGUUGGAGCAUCUGCUAUCACCCUCUCUUGCUAGAAGUCUGGUGCAGCUCCAAUGCUUUGAGAUAGAGGAUUGCAAUUGCUUAAGGGACAUAAUACUUACAGAGGAAAUUGAAGAAGAAAGGAAAGAUGUGAUUUGUUUCCCUCGAUUAAACUCCCUGCGUAUAGAUCGUCUUCCAAACCUCAUCUUCUUCAGCUCAGGAAACCACAAUAUUGAGUUCCCAUUGUUGAAAAAGCUAGAGAUUAAGCGUUGCCCCAAGUUAAUAGAUUCAUCAGUCAGAAUAGUAAUCAGGCCGGCAUGCACGCUCUCUUCAGUGAGAAGGUGAUUUAUUUCAGUAGUCUUACACUCUUACAUAAAUCUGUUGAUUUGUCCUUGUUUUUUUUCUGCCUUCAUUAUUUGAGCUAACCUUAUUAUGGGCAUGGAUUAUAUAUAUAUAUGAAUAGGUUGCAGUUCCUAGCUUGGAAGACAUGACUAUCUGGGACUUGAGUAAUGUGAAGAUGAUAUUUUAUAAUGACCUACCACCAGGUUCCUUUAAAAAUCUUCGAAAAAUAAAUGUUUGGGGAUGUGGGAGUUUGAAAAAUCUAUUUCCAGCAUCAAUAGCCAAAGAUCUUCCACAACUUGAACAUUUAAGUAUCACUGAUUGUGGAGUUGAGGAGAUUGUAUCGAAAGGGGAUGGAGUGGAGGAGCAGCCUGUGAGGUUUGAGUUUCCGCAAGUGUCUUACCUUGGGGUUACAAGGGUAGAAAAGCUCAAAUGUUUCUAUGAGGGGCAACAUACAAUAGUCUGGCCGAUGUUGAAAAAAUUGAAAACAGAUGGUUCUGCUUUGCUAAAGAUAGUGGCAUCGGAACAUCUUAGAUUAAUCCAAGGAAAUGAGAAGCCAGUAUUGUUGGGUGAAGAGGUAUGUAUAUCAUUACAACUAUAUUUCUUUUUAUGAUUUAAACCACUGCCACAAGCAUCUCAAGUUGAAAUAUGCCACGAUAAUGCAUUUCUAAUUAUUAUAUUUUGUUUGAUUUGAUUUUUUUUUUCGUAUUUUUGAAUUUUCUAUAUAUAUAUUUUAAAUUUUUUGUUACAUUUAUAAAUAUUUUUUCAAUUUUUAAAAACAAGACUAAACAAACAUAAUAGGUAAAUAUUGAGUGUUAGUCUUGACUUUUUAGAAUGUAAUUUAAUUUGAUAAAAUGUAUAAAUGUUGAGGGUUAAAUUUAUUACUAUGAAAAAAAGAAGAAGCUACAUUAUCAUCCCGUUAGGGACUUUGCAGCAUAGCAAUUAAGAUAUUCAAUUUCUCUAACAACAAUGAUUAAAUUGAAAUUUUAUUUAUUUUUAAGUGACCAAAAUGAAAAUAUUUUAACACUUAAGUGACUAUAUAUGUAAUUUACCCUGCAUUUAAGUAGUGGGCCGAAACUAAAUAGAACGUUUACUUUGCUAAAAAAAUCGCCACUCAACAAAAAGUCAAAAUUUUAAAAGUUAAUUACACUAGACAUCUCAAACUAUAACAUUCAUUUUAAAUUAGUCCCAAAAUUUAAAAUAUUCUAAUUAUAUUCUUAAACUAUUGAGGUUAUAUCAAUUAGGUCUUUCUGUUAUUAAAUUCGUUAAUUUAACCAUCAUAUUAUAUCAGUGUAAUAUUUUAAAACCUUGGUGUUUUAUCUACACUGUUCUGCUUAUUUUUUUUAUCAUAGAAAUAUAUAUAUAUAUAACAAUGGUUGUUUAUCUAUUUUAAUCUUGAUUUGCUACUUCGGCUUUCAUGUUGUGUAAUUUUUAUCAGUUUUUAUUCUCAAGAUAUUGUGAUUUAAUAUUGAUUUUGUUGGGAUUUAAUCAUCAAAAUCAAACACUAAAAUUGUAAAUCUUUUGUUUGUUUGUUUGUUUUAAAGCAUAUACAUCAACAUUGAGCCUAACUUGUAUAUAUUUAAUUGGUUUCCAAGGUCAUUCCCAAAUUAGAGGAACUUGAGUUACGAAUUUUUGGUGAUAUGGACCAAUUUCCACCAGACUUGUUUCAACAUGUUAAAGUUUUUGCAGUGAGGGGUGCCUCUCGAUUUUUUUCAUUUCCUCCCCUCCGAAGAUUCUACAAUCUGGAAAGACUUGAGGUUUCUCAUUUUGAUUUCAAACAUGUAGUCCCUUGUAAAGGAGGUGCCGGGACUCUCCCACCAAUUAGAAAUCUGAAAUUGGAUUCUGCCAGAAAUCUUAAGCAUAUUUGGAGGAAAGGUUCGGAGCUUGACCAUAUUCUUUCUAAUCUUCAAACACUCACAGUUCAUAAUUGUGAUAAUUGGAUAAAUAUUAGAGUCUUCUCAUCAUCUUUACAAAAUCUCAGAAUUUUGAAUGUGUCACUUUGUAAAAUGAUGACAAACUUAGUUACACCCUCAGUACUUAAGAAUCUUGUGCAAUUAACGACAAUGAUCGUAAGAGGGUGCACUAAAAUGACAGAAAUAGUGGGAAACGAGGGAGACUGUCAUCAGACAAUAGUUGUUAGUGAAUUGAAAUGUUUACAACUAUGCAAUAUGAAGAGCCUCACAAGCUUUUGUCCACGGAAUUACAACUUCGAGUUUCCUUGUUUGGAAGAAUUAGUUGUGGAACGGUGUCCUAGGUUAAAGAUCUUUUCUGAGGGAGUUUUAAGCACCCCACAAUUACAGAGAAUAAAACAGUCGCGUUUCAGUAACAAAUGGAGUUGGAGAAGUGACCUUAAUACCACCAUACAACAGCUCUACACAGAAAAGGUACAAAGUUAAUAAGUUCAUAAUGCUAGCUAGAUUCCUCGUGUCCUAAUACAAUUAAUUUUAUUACUACUUCAAUAACCAUUGAAGAUUGUUAAUCGUUAUUUUGUUAUUGUCUGCAUUUUCUAUUUAUGAUUGCUAUCUAGUGGAUUAAUAUCAGAUUAAUUUUUAGGAUGGACUCUAUGAUUUCAACAUCUCGGACACAUUGCCGGAGUCGAUCGAAAUAUGGACUAGAAACCCUCAAGAUAUUUUGGACUUCAAAAUCCUUAGCAGCCUGCAGUUUUAUAAAUGUAGCAGCUUGAAGUACAUAUUUACUCCGUCUAUGCUUUUGAGCCUCAAUCAACUACACUGGCUAGAAGUAAAAGAAUGCAGUUCAAUGGAACAAGUGGUUAGGGAGGAGGAGGAAGCAAUGACACAUAAAUUUACAUUUCUUUCGCUACUCUCCGUAACAAUUGAGUCGUGUUCCAACUUGACAAAUUUCCAUUUGGGAAGUCAAGCUCUUGAAUUUCCAAUGCUGAGUAAUAUCACGAUAGCUGAGUGUCCAAAAAUGACUGCAUUUUCUUCCUCAGUUUCAAGAGAGAGUGGUGAUGCAAGUGAAAGCGUGGUUGGCGAAGGGGGCAUCUAUGAUAACACUGCAACUUUUUUCAGCAAUAAGGUAAGUUUGGUAUUCAAUAUUUAUCUGCACAACUUAUUUCACAUUUUCUUUUGAUUUGAUCAACAUGAGUGUGUCUGGUCUAUAUAUACAUAAAAAUAGAAUAUAAUAAAAUCCAUAAAAAAUAUUAAUAAAUAAGAUUAAAUUUAAAAAAAAACUGGAGUUUAAAGUAUAAAUAAAUAUAUAAAAGAAGAAUUGAAGGAAAAACUUAAAGUGAAAUACUAAAAAACAAUAAGAAUUUAAGAGAAGUUUUAAAUUAAAUAGUAAUAGACAAUAAAUAAUAAAAUAAUAAUAGAAAAAAGAAACCUAAUCUUCCUUUUUUCUAAUUUGUGGGUGUAUAAGAAGGAUAUAAUUGUGGAAGACCUUCUCAGAGGUCAUUUGAGAUCAAAGGACAAGAAGCAUGAAAACAAAUGGUGAGGAGUUUGAAGAAGAAAGAACCAGAUAGAGGUGCUCAUGAGCCGGGCCGGGCCGGGCCAAGAAAAAAUUUCGGCUCGGGUCCUAGGCCCGGGCCCGACCUGGCCCGAAAUAUGGGCCUAAAAUUUUGCCCAAGCCCGGCCCGAGAAGAAAUUCAUAAGCCCGGCCCUGUCCGUUUUUUAAAUAAAUACCAAAAAUUUAUUUUAAAAAUUAAAAAAAUAUUUUAAAAAUAUAUUAAAAUUUAAAAAAUUUAAAAGAAGUAUUUUAAAAGUUUUUAAAAUAAAAAAUUUUAAAAAAUAAAUAUAUUUAUUAUAUUCGGGCCGGGCCAGGGCCGGGCCAAAAAAGUGGUGCCCGAGGCCCGGCCCGUUUUUUAAUCGGGCCUCAUUUUUUUCCCAAGCCCAUAUUUCGGGCCUAUAUUUUUGUCCAAACCCUCCCAUAUUUUGGGUGGGCCGUCUGGCCGGGUCAGGCCGCCCGGCCCAUGAGCACCUCUAGAACCAAAUAUAUAGAAGAGAAUUGAAGUGAGAGAGUGGAUGCAUAUGGGUUUUAUUUAAAGAUUUAAUGCUUUUUUUUUAAUUUCCUAUAUUGAAAAAAUCAUUGAAAGAAAAAAAAGUUUAAUAUAAUUAUUUAAAUUUACUUGUCGAGUUUUUAUAAAAGUAACUCAAAUUUUUGAUUAAUUAUGAAAAUGACUCAAUUUAAAAAUUAUGUACAUAAAUUAUUCGAUUUCUAUAGUGUUUGUUGGUGCCGCCAGACACAAUGGCGGCACCGACCUACCAUCAUCGACCAAUGAUUGUAUUUUAUUUAAAAAAAUAAUAGUUUCUUGCUAGUGUUGUUUGAAAAAUUGGCGAUAUCAAACUGAAGUGUAAUUAUAUAAAAUAUUCAUGGACUUAACGAAGUAAUUACCUUUUUUUAAUUAGCGGAAAAAGGGGUCUUCCGGUGAAUAUGGGGCACCAAAUUAAAUGAUUUUUUAUCUUUUGAUCUAUUUGCAUGUUAGGUCUAUCCCCUUUUGAAAUUAAAUUUAAAUAACCCUUAAGAAAUAUAAGAAUAACAAAAAUAAAUCAUUCUCAUUUAUUUUAUUUUAUUUUAAAAAAAUAAACUUAAAAAAUUAUAUAAAAUUUUUAUUUAAAUUACCCAAAUGUAUCCCUCACACAACUUCCUCAAGUUUAUCUAAAUUCAAGCAUUUUCAAUUCAUUCCCUAGCAUAUUUAAAUUUAGAUAAACUUAAGGAAAUUUUUUGAGGAAUAUAUUUGGGUAAUUUGAAUAAGAUUUUAUAUAAUUUUUUAAGUAUUUUUUUUCAAAAAAAUGAAAAUGGUUUAAUUUUGUUAUUCUUAUAUUUUUUAAGUGCUAUUUAAAUCUAACUUCAAAAGAGGACAAACGUAACAUGCAAAUAGGUCAAAUGUUGAAAAACAUUUAAUCCCUUUUUCAACCAAUCUAAAAAUGUUAACCGCUUCAAAAGAUCUUGCACGUUUUAUAUAGUCACAUUCAGUGUGGUGCCAUCAAUUUAUUAGGCAAAACCACUACAAUCUUUUUUAAAAAGCAAUCAUUGGCUGAUGAUGGAGGCCAAGGCAGUAAGCACUAUAGAUAUCAAGUCAUUUACGUUUAAGUUGGAUCAUUUUCGUAAUUAACCAAGAACUUUUGGUUACUUUUAACUGUCUAGUUGAUGUGUGAAUAUUAACCUUUAGAUCAGUUUAUAAAUCUUCAUACUCAUCUACUCAUUUUUAUUGUCUUUCAAAGUAAAGAAGGAAGAGUGAUACUACCUUAUAAUGAUAUUUAUGUCAACAGGUUGUCAUUCCUAGUUUGGAGUGUCUGGAUUUGUCCUCCAUCAACAUUCAUAAGAUAUGGCAUCACUCAUCCUCCCCAUCUAUCGGAUACCUAAAUUCCUUGCAGGUGAAGAGGUGUCACAAUUUGAAAUACCUGUUCCCGUCUUUCUUAGCAAAAGAUCUUGUGCAACUCCGACGCCUUCGAAUUUUGGACUGUAAUAUGAUGGAACAAGUAAUAUUCACGGAUGGAUUGGUUGAAAAUUACUUUGAAUUUCACUGUUUGGCAUAUUUAACACUAAGAAAUUGUCCAUUGCUAAAAACAUUCAUCUCUAAAUGUGUCCCCGGAGAUGAACCUCAAAUUGGCCAACAUGAACAGGCAAGUAACUUGGAGGUUCAAAACUCAUCUCUCCUCAAUGAAAAGGUAAUUUCUUCAAGGAUCCUCCUUUUAAUUUAUGUUACUUCGAUUGAUUUUAUUCAUUCGAAGUUCUUUCUUUUUCAUACAUAUUUCAGUUAUUAACCUAAUGAAAUGAUUUAUUAGGUUGUUUUCCCUAGUUUGAAGAAGCUUCAGAUUAAAAAUUGUGAUUCGUUAGAAGAAAUUAUUGAGCUGGAAGGACUCAUUGCUGAUGAGUCACAGUCAACAUCAGCUGCUCAAUCUAUUGUGGCUGAAACAGUGACGACCAAGUUUGUAUUUCCCAAACUAAUAAACCUUGGAUUGGAUAAGGUGCCAAGAUUGAAAAGUUUCUACUCUAGGAUGCAUACCACCCAGUGGCCUUCAUUGAAACAAAUGAGCAUUAUUGAAUGCCCAAAAGUACAGAUAUUUACUCGACAAUGUCCAGUGAGUCAGGUUGGAACCUCAAUCCAACAACCCUUGUUUUGCGUCAACGAGGUAAGCUCACUAGCAGUUUUCAUAUUCCAUGUUCAUUACUGGAGAUUACUUAUAAAAUGCCUUUUAAAUUUAUGAGAAAGAAAAUGGAAAUUAUAUUCAUUCUGUAGUCUAGUUCUUACGAAUUGAAAACUCUUUGAUCGAUGUUUAAUAUAUUCGUUGCCAUCCAGGACACUUUCCCUGUAUUGGAAGAACUAACACUGAAGACGAAUGAUUUGGUAAAGGGGAUAUGUGAUGAACAACUCUCAUUGCAGUGUUUCCAAAACCUUAAACUUCUUAACCUUCAUUGCUUUCGUAAGAGGUCAACCACACUUCCAUAUUGGUUCAUUCGGUCACUACCAAAGCUUCAGAAGCUUGUUAUAAAGAAUGCUUCCAUUUCUGAAAUAGUCCGGUCUGAAGGACUUAGUGACGAGGAAAGGCAUACAUCAGCAUUCUAUCAGCUAAAGGAAUUAAGUUUGACUCAACUUCCAGGGUUAACGUUAAAGACUUUCGAACCAUCAUUGCUGUCUUUCAAAAAUCUAACAACACUGGAAGUUUCAAGAUGCCAUGGGUUCAUCAAUUUAAUCGCAUGCUCAACAGCCAAGUGCCUGACGCUACUGGAAAGAUUGAGCAUAGAUGAUUGUGAGAUGAUAGAGGAAAUCAUAGCGUGUGAGGCUGAAGAAAUACAAGGCGGCAUUGUAUUUCCCAAACUGAAAUAUUUGCAACUAAGUUGUCUGCCAUGUCUAGCAAGCUUUUCCUUGGCCCAUCACUCGUUGGAAUUCCCAGUCUUGCUAAUGGUGAUGGUGACAAAGUGCCCCCAAAUGAGGAAUUUCUGCCAAGGGGAUUUAAGCACACCAAGGCUGGAACAAAUGCACUUAACAAGAGAUGAGGAAGGUGAACUGCAGUGGGAAGGCGACCUGAACACUACCAUAAAACAUAUGUUCGAUGAAAUGGUAGAAAUCAUUUAAAGGAUUUAAAUUCAUGUGUUUUUACAUACAUACAUAGUUAAUUGAACAAUUCUUGGUUUGUUAUGAUCAUGCACAGAAUGUGCAAAAUUCUGAGGUGACGGAGGUUACUGAUCAGUUGCCCAAGCUGGAAUAAGGAAAUAUGUUUGGGUGCUUAUGCGAAAAGCUCAAUUUCGUUUGAAUUGAAAACAAAUGGUAAUUGACUCUUCUAUUUUCAUCAUGGCUUAACUAAUGCUUUAUAAAGUGACCAUAGAGACGCCCUUUUCAUUGUAGGUUGAGUUGCUCUACUGAAGUAGGAGGCUGCAACUUUUGGUAAAAUGUGAAAGGUUAUUUCAGUUUUUGUAAAACUACUAUUUGAACUGUUCCAUUUCACAUUAUACCCUCAAAAUUGAACUUCAAGUGCAUCAUGCAUGGCAUUGGGCUACAAACAUGUAAACUUUUACUAGUAAGGUUGACCCCUGUUUUAAGAAUUUGUUCAAUAUCAAAAAGAUGUGUUUUUAUUUUUAUUUUUAAUUUGAAAAAAGAAAAUCUUUGAAAUAAAAAAUAGUAUGUUUUAUAUAAUUAUUUGAAGUUACUCUCACAUUAUUUUUACCCAUUCAAAGCUGGCAAGUCUUUUAUGUACAAAAUGGUAUAGCUCUGCAAUUUGGAAUAACAUUUUGGUCACCUCCAUGUGAAGUGAAAAAGAAUUAAGAAUGUCACACAAUUAUUAUUUUUCCCUCCAUACCCCUAUGCCACCAAAGAAAGUUGAAUUAUUAAGGCACAAAAGUACUAAGGAGUAGGAGCUAGAAAAAGAGGGGCAUGAAAAUAAAGAGACUUACAUUUAUUAUUUGCAUAAUACAAAAUUAGUCUUUAAUAUUUACACCAACAAAAUUAAUGAGUUAACAAGUGUCUUAUAGGAAUAUAAUAAAAUAUUAAAAAAUAAAUAUUUUUAAAAAAAGAUAUAUGUCAAUUUUUUAAAAUUACUUGUGAAUUAAAAAUAAUAUAUUAUCGGCGUACGAAAUACUCACCUUUUUAAUUAAGAUUUAAAAAUAAAAAACAGUUAGUAAAAUGAAUGGAUUGCAAAUUGAGAAAUUUGAUAUUGAAUAUUAAAAUUUUCUUAAAAAGAAGACAUACGAAAGUUAGUGACUUAUUUUAUUUAAUUUUAAUUUUUAAAUUUAUGCAUUUUAUUAUGAAUUUUUAUUCUUUGUGUACUCUGUAAAAUUUGUCUGAAAUUUCCAAUUUUCAAUUUCUCACUUCAACCAUAAUUGUCUUCUAAAGAACUUUAUAAGGGAAGCUAUGCCACUCUAUUUAAGGGCUGGUUUUGGAGAUUAAAGUAUAAUUUUAUAAUUAUAUUAAUUUAAUUUUUUAAAAUUUUAAAAACGUGUAAAUAAAAAAUUUACUAUUUUCGGGGGGUCAAGGCUAUUUCUUCCCCUUGUCUUUGCCCUGCUAGUAGUUUAUUAACACGGCCUUAUACGGUAAUACUCUUACCGAAUAUAAAGCCUUGUUUAAAUGGAGAUAUUCAUAAGAGGAAAAAUACCAAAUAAUGCAAGCUCGCCCAUUCCUGGUCAUUAUGACCCCCUUUAAUUGUGAGGAGGCACCUCUUCUCUCGAAGUUACGAGGCUAUUUUGCCAAGUUCUUUAGAGAGAGUUGUCUCACGCCCCUAGGUAUUCUUUACCUACCCACUUGUGUCGGUUUUGGGUACAAGUACCCUUUUGUUGAAGGACGUUCAAGCCUUUCCUGGGAGCAUAGCAUAGGUUACUUCAAUGCCGUAGCCUAGUACUCGAACAUUGGCUUGGGACAUUUUCUCUACCCCUUCUUAUCCUGAAAAAGCAGGGGCACCUUACAUCCUUAAACCAAUAACCAUUUCGGCUAACCUAGCUAUACAUCAUAUAAUUAAAAAGAUAAUAAGUUAAAAAAAAUUUACUCAGUGUUUGAAUUUUUAUUGAUUGGAAUAUAAUACGUUAUAUAACAACAAUGAAGAUGCAUAUGAUUUUGACUUCCACUUACAAUUUCAUAAAAUAAUUUAUCAAUUCAAAAUUAUCCAAAUACAAAUUCAAAAUAUUUAAAUCAAAAUUAAUUUGGAGCUCCUCACUCAGGCUUCUACUUUUGUGCAUUGAUAAUUCAGUGGCAGCACUUCUCCCUUGCCUUAAUUGUUGAAAAUUGAAUAAAAAUUGUACCUUUCAUUUCCUUCCCUCAGACAAGUUGUUCAUUGUUGCUCCCACCCUUCAGUCUUCUCUAAAAUAAUGUAGGAAUCCCAAGUCACUAUAAUUAGGUGAUGAGGAUGGUACUUACUUUUUUUUUUUUUCCGAAAUCAGGGUAUUCAUUGUUAAUAACGGUGAUUGAUUUUUUUGUUGCGAGUUUUUACAAGAGCUUACGUAAGAGUUUAAUAUGGUUCAAUAAUUAUUUUAUAAUUUUUUAAAGUUAAAUAAUCAAAAUAUAAAUCAAUUAACAAUUUAGAGAGCUUACAUGUAGUUUACCCAAAAACAUAUCGAUAUGAUCCCCCAUUGGAGUCCGAAGCCAAAGCUCACAAUUUGAGUUAACAUUUGACAUUUGGGGUUACAAAUUGAGAAUUAAUUGAAAUAGAUAACAAUUAGCAAUUAAAUAAAAAAAUUAUAUUCCAUAUACUGUAGUAUUGAAUAUAUGUUUACUUAAUUAAAGGUCUCUUUUUUAUUUAAUUAAUUUCUUCAACGCGAAUUUAGAAAAUUAUUAUGGUAUGAGAUUAUAAGAAUGGUUUUUGGAACUAAAUCAGUGAGUGAAGUUGUAAAAUUACUGAUUUUAGAUUUAAUUACUUCAAUCAUUGGUCUAGUUUCGAUUAAAAAAAAUUGUAAAAAAAUUUAUUCAUGAUUUAGCCCAUAAAUUAUAUAUAUUCUCUCACUUUAGUCUAGUUUAGACUUGCCUAUGGCCCGGCUCAAAUGGCCACCUGAAAAGUGAGAUAAUUUAGGCAAAUAUAUAUGCCCAAAAAAUUGGUCUAGAUAAAAAAAUAAUGCUCAUUUCGUUAUUAUAUUGAUACUAUUUUGUUGUUAUUAUUUGAAUAAUGUAUAACUCUUGCUUUAUUAUUAAUUUUGCUACUAUUUUAGAGGUAUUUGCUUAAUAAGUUGUACUUAUCUUAGUGUUAUUUAAGUAUUUUUUUAUUUUUAUUUGUUAAAAAACAUUUAUUUCAAUUUUUUUAGUGUAUUUGAUGUAUUAUUUUUUAAAAUUUUAUUUUUAUAUUAAAAAAUAUAAAAAAAUUAAUACAGGCUGAUUAAGCUGAAUUUGGGUUUUAACAUUUUAAUCUAAGUUGGGCUUGGAUAAAAUUUUAAACCUAUUUUUCGAGCUUAACUGAGCUCGGGCUGAAUUUGGGUUUUUUUUAUACCUUAAAUCUAAAAUUUUAAUUAAUUAAUUUAAUAAAAUAGAUUAAAAUAAGGGUUUCGACUCAAAUUAUGAUGAAUUGAGCCAUUGAACUUGAGAAAUUAAAAUGUGAACAGCAAUGGGCUCUUCAAAAACCCUUACCCUAGCCCAAGAAGAUCAUCCCCAAAAAAUUUCAACUUACAACCCUAAUUUGCCUCUCAACUACACUAUAAAUCCUAUCUUCAACAAGAAUCAUGAAGCAUUUGUAUCUCCUAAAAAACCCUUCUUUCGUCUAAGGUUUCUCUUUAGAAAUUUUCUCUUCGCAGAGAGUAAUCUUUGCCUUCAUUUUUUUUUUCUCUUUAUUUUCCCAUUUUCAAUCUGGGGUUUUUUCCAAAAUGAAUCCAAUCUUUACACUAAAUGUGAACCCUAAUCCCAUUUAUUUUAUCUGGGUUUUGAAUAAAAUCUGCACUUGUUGUAUACUUAUGAAAUAAAGGAACCAUUUUUAAUGCUUUGUUUCUUAACAAGAGUGCAGAAAUAAAAAGCUUGAUUUUUUCUUCUUUUAAAACAAAGAAACCAAGGAUUAAGCAGCGGCCAGACAACCGUAGCGAUGGUAUCCACGGAUGAAGGGCUAAUUUCUUUUUUAAUCCCUUUUUUGUCUACUGAUUCCAUCUCACAUUUCGUUUUUUAAAUUUUUAGGGUUCAUCACUUUUGAAUUGAUUGAAAAAGCUUUAAUCAAAGUUCAAACUUCGGUUAAAAAAUUGGUUUUUUUUAUAUGAUUUUACCUUUUUCAAUGCUUUUUUAUGUUUUUUCAAUUUGUAAAAUCAAAUGAGAAACAAUCUAAAAACGAACGACAUUAAUCUAUCAAUCAAUCAAACUGAUUUUGAUUUUGAUUUGUUGUAAUUUUUACGAUAUAUUAUCAGAUAUAUUUUACAUCUUAAAAAUGGAAAAUCGUAAAAGUCAAAUUUUUUUAAUAGGUUAACUUUUGAUAUUAGUCCCUAUAUUUUGUUAAAAUUAUGAAUUUAGUCAUUAUAUUUUUUAAAUUUUAAUAUUUCAGUCUUUAUCAAAUGAUAAUUUUUAAAAGUUAAAGUUUUGUUAUUUUAAAAUAUAUUACGUCAAAUAUAUUAUCAUAUGUUCAAUGUUAUAUCGACUUCUUAUUUUCACAUAUUCCUUAUCAAAAAUUUAAUUAAUAGAUUAGCAACUGUUAUUUGAGUCGAAUCUGAAAUUUCAAAAAUUGCGAAUUAAAAUAUCUAAUUAAAAUAUAUGGAUUAAAUCUACAAUUACAAUACAUAACUAGCAAUUGAAUUUAAACAAUCAAGAUUUAACAGUAACUAUUUGUGUAAAGACUAAAUUUGAGUUCCCAUUGUUGAAAGAGCUAAAGAUUGAGCGUUGCCCCAGGUUAAUAGAAUUCAUUAGUCAGAAUAGUAAUCAGUCCGGCAUGCACGCUCUCUUCAGUGAGAAGGUGAUUUAUUUCAGUAGUCUUACACUCUUGCAUAAAUCUGUUGAUUUGUCCUUGUUUUUUUUUUCUGCCUUCAUUAUUUGAGCUAACCUUAUUAUGGGCAUGGAUUAUAUAUAUAUAUAUAUGAAUAGGUUGCAGUUCCUAGCUUGGAAGACAUGGAGAUUAACUUGAGUAAUGUGAAGAUGAUAUUUUAUAAUGACCUAGCACCAGGUUCCUUUAAAAAUCUUCGAAAAAUAAAUGUUUGGGGAUGUGGGAGUUUGAAAAAUCUAUUUCCAGCAUCAAUAGCCAAAGAUCUUCCACAACUUGAACAUUUAAGCAUCACUGAUUGUGGAGUUGAGGAGAUUGUAUCGAAAGGGGAUGGAGUGGAGGAGCAGCCUGUGAGGUUUGAGUUUCCGCAAGUGUCUUACCUUGGGGUUACAGGGGUAGAAAAGCUCAAAUGCUUCUAUGAAGGGCAACAUACAAUAGUCUGGCCGAUGUUGAAAAAAUUGAAAACAGAUGGUUCUGCUUUGCUAAAGAUAGUGGCAUGGGAACAUCUUAGAUUAAUCCAAGGAAAUGAGGAGCCAGUUUUGUUGGGUGAAGAGGUAUGUAUAUCAUUACAACUAUAUUUCUUUUUAUGAUCUAAACCACUGCCACAAGCAUCUCAAGUUGAAAUAUGCCACGAUAAUGCAUUUCUAAUUAUUAUAUUUUGUUUGAUUUGAUUUUUUUUUGUAUUUUUGAAUUUUUAAUAUAUAUUUUAAAUUUUUUAUUACAUUUAUAAUUAUUUUUUCAAUUUUUAAAAACAAGACUGAACAAACAUAAUAGGUAAAUAUUGAGUGUUAAUCUUGACUUUUUAGAAUGUAGUUCAAUUUGAUAAAAUGUAUAAAUGUUGAGGGUUAAAUUUAUUAUUAUGCAAAAAAAAAAAUGCUACAUUAGCAUCCCAUUAGGGACUUUGCAGCAUAGCAAUUAAAAUAUUCAAUUUCUCUAACAACAGUGAUUAAAUUAAAAUUUUAUUUGUUUUUAAGUGACCAAAAUGAAAAUAUUUUAACACUUAAGUGACUAUAUAUGUAAUUUACCCUGCAUUUAAUUAGUGGGUCGAAACUAAAUAGAACGUUUACUUUGCUAAAAAAAACCGCCACCCAAUAAAAAGUUAAAAUUUUGAAAGUUAAUUACACUAGACAUCUCAAACUAUAACCUUCAUUUUAAAUUAGUCUUAAAAUUUAAAAUAUUCUAAUUACAUUCUUAAACUAUUGAGGUUAUAUCAAUUAGGUCUUUCUAUUAUUAAAUUCGUUAAUUUAACCAUCAAAUUAUAUCAGUGUAAUAUUUUAAAACCUUGGUGUUUUAUCUACAUUGUUCUGCUUAUAUUUUUUAUCAUAGAAAUAUAUAUAUAUAUAUAUAUAUAUAACAAUGGUUAUUUGUCUAUUUUAAUCUAGAUUUGCUACUUCGGCUUUCAUGUUGUGUAAUUUUUAUCAGUUUUUAUUCUCAAGGUAUUGUGAUUUAAUCAUCAAAAUCAAACACUAAAACUGUAAAUCUUUUGUUUGUUUGUUUGUUUAAAGCAUAUACAUCAACAUUGAGCCUAACUUGUUUAUAUUUAAUUGGUUUCCAAGGUCAUUCCCAAAUUAGAGGAACUUGAGUUAAGAACUUCCGGUGAUAUGGACCAAUUUCCACCAGACUUGUUUCAACAUAUUAAAGUUUUUGCACUGAGUGGUGGCUCUCCAUUUUCUUUAUUUCCUUUCGUCCGAAGAUUCUACAAUCUGGAAAGACUUGAGUUUUCUUAUUUUGAUUUCAAACAUAUAGUCCCUUGUAAAGGAGAUGCCGGGACUCUCCCACCAAUUAGAAAUCUGAAAUUGGUUUCUGCCAGAAAUCUUAAGCAUAUUUGGAGGAAAGAUUCGGAGCUUGACCAUAUUCUUUCUAAUCUUCAAACACUCACAGUUGAGGAUUGUGAUGAUUGGAUAAAUAUUAGAGUCUUCUCAUCAUCUUUACAAAAUCUCACAAUUUUGAAUGUGUCAUUUUGUGAAAUGAUGACAAACUUAGUUACACCCUCAGUACUUAAGAAUCUUGUGCAAUUAACGACAAUAAAGGUAGAAAACUGCACUAAAAUGACAGAAAUAGUGGGAAACGAGGGAGAAUGUCAUCAGACAAUAGUUGUUAGUAAAUUGAAAUGUUUACACCUAUGCAAUUUGAAGCGCCUCACAAGCUUUUGUCCAUGGUAUUACAACUUCGAGUUUCCUUGUUUGGCAGAAUUAGUUGUGGAACAUUGUCCUUGGUUAAAGAUCUUUUCUGAGGGAGUUUUAAGCACCCCACAAUUACAGAGAAUAAAACGGUCGCGUUACGAUGAGAAAUGGAGUUGGACAAGUGACCUUAAUACCACCAUACAACAGCUCUACACAGAAAAGGUACAAAGUUAAUAAGUUCAUAAUGCUAGCUAGAUUCCUCGUGUCCUAAUACAAUUAAUUUUAUUACUACUUCAAUAACCAUUGAAGAGUGUUAAUCGUUAGUUUGUUAUUGUCUGCAUUUUCUAUUUAUGAUUGCUAUCUAGUGGAAUAAUAUCAGAUUAAUUUUUAGGAUGGACUCUAUUUCCCAUAUGAUUUCAACAUCUCUGACACAUUUCCGGAGUCGAUGGAAAUAUGGACUAGAAACCCUCAAGAAAUUUUAGGCUUCAAAAACCUUAGCAGCAUGCAGUUUUAAAAAUGUAGCAGCUUGAAGUGCAUAUUUACUCCGUCUUUGCUUUUGAGCCUCAAUCAACUACAAUGGCUAGAAGUAAAAGAAUGCAGUUCAAUGGUGUUAAGGAUAAGAAACAGUUAGUUCAAAGCAGUUAGUCAGUUAGUAUCAGUUAGUAUCAGUUAGCUGUUAUGGUUAGCAGUUAAUAAAUUUGUGUAUUAAAUACCCAGUUGUAAGUAUGCUUAUGAUAUGAGAAAAUCAAUAAGAAUCAGUACGUAUUUUCCAAAUCUUAACAUGGUAUCAAGAGCCAUGGUCUAAAGUUUUUUCUUCUUCUUCUCUCCCGUUCUUUCUAUUCUUGCUGUUGUUCAUGGCCACCGAUGGUUCUGACACUCCUCGACAUUCCAGCAAUUCUGGUGCUGCAGUACAUCCAUCAGAUUCUGGAGGUCUUCUGUCAUCUGGAGUUCAUUACUUCUCCAAACAUGAUACAAUUAAACUUACUGAAAAGAAUUUUCUUUUGUGGAAACAUCAGUUGAUGUUAAUCUUGGAAGGGUAUGGCCUUGAAGGUUUUGUCUUGGGCACCACACUUCCUCCUCCGACGUUCAUAACCGAUUCUAAUGGCCAAUUGGUAGCAAAUUCAGCAUUUAUGGUUCAUAACAAGCAGGAUAAAUUUCUUGCUUCCUGGCUUUUGUCCACAAUCCCUGAUGAAGUUUUAGUUCAUUUAACAGCAGCUAAGACCAGUUCUGGAAUUUGGAUGGCUGUUGACAAACGCCUUGGUGCCAAAUCAAGUGCCAAACUUUCUAGCAUAAGACAUACGUGGGAUCUUGUUGAGUUACCUGAAGGUCGCCAGGCUGUUGGUUGUAAAUGGAUUUUUAAAGUUAAGAGACAUGCAAACGGAGACAUAGCUCGCUACAAGGGACGGCUAGUCGUUAAAGGGUAUUUACAAGAGGCUGGUGUUGAUUUUUGGCAGACUUUCAGUCCUGUGGUUAAGCCAACAAUGAUCCGAAUUGUCUUAUCUCUUGCGGUAUCACGUGGCUGGUCUCUUCGACAGGUGGACAUCAAUAAUGCCUUUUUAAAUGGGGAUUUGCAGGAGGAAAUUUACAUGACGCAACCGCCUGGUUUUGAGCAACAGUCCAAGGAUAGUCGUCCCCUUGUCUGUCGGUUGCGAAAGGCGUUGUAUGGCCUCAAACAAGCCCCUCGUGCUUGGUUUCAUAAGCUAAGGGAGUUCUUGCUAGCUGCAACUUUUGUUCCUUCUAAAGCUGACAGCUCUCUCUUUAUUCGACGAUCGGGAGGGCACCUUCUCUAUGUACUAGUCUACGUUGAUGAUAUUAUCAUCACAGGUACUGACUUUGUUGCUAUUGAUAGGUUUGUCAAAGAUCUGGAUAUUCACUUCUCCUUGAAAGAUUUGGGACGACUGAAUUAUUUUCUUGGUAUCGAAGUUACGUCAACAUUGCAUGGUGUCUCUUUGAGUCAGAAGAAAUACAUCUUGGAGUUACUUCAGAAAGCUUCCAUGGACAAGUCCAAGGCUUCUCCUACUCCAAUGAUGACCACUUGUAGAAUGUCUGCUCAUGAAGGGACUCCGAUGGAAGAUGAACACUUGUUCAGGAGCAUUGUCGGUGCCUUACAAUAUGUGGUCAUAACUAGACCAGACAUUGCUUUCUCGGUUAACAAGGUGUGUCAAUAUAUGCAUAAACCCUUAGAUGUUCAUUUCAAGGCUGUCAAACGCAUUCUAAGGUACCUACAAGGGAUACUUGAUUACGGAUUACAGUUUACGCGUCACUCAAAACUUGUUCUUGAGGCAUAUUCAGAUGCAAGUUGGGGUUCCGAUGUUGGAGCUCCAAGAAGCAACAAGUGGUCUCAAGGUCGACUGUGGAAGCUGAGUAUCGAAGCUUGGCUCAUGUCACUGCUGAAAUAACUUGGAUUCGAUCACUGUUGACGGAACUAGGGGUGACACUUCCCAGUAAAGAUCUAGUUUGGUGUGAUAGCUCAGCUGCCAUUGCUGUAGCAAACAAUCCAAUCAUGCAUUCCAAGUUUAAACAUGUGGACUAGACUUGUUCUUUGUAAGAGAAAAAGUGGUAGAUGGUUCGCUGCAAGUUGGUCAUGUUUCUGGACAAGAUCAGGUUGCUGACAUGCUGACAAAACCUUUGGCUGUAGGGUUAUUUGACAAGUUUAGAAAAAGACUUGGAGUGGCCUCCAUAGCAGAGGAUAUUAUGCAAAAGCAAGGAACGUCGAGAAGCAGGAGCCAUGUUAAGGAUAAGAAACAGUUAGUUCAAAGCAGUUAGUCAGUUAGUAUCAGUUAGUAUCAGUUAGCUGUUAUGGUUAGUGUUGACACCAUUUUUUGGAUGGAAAAACGGGGUCGACUUAGGUUUUGAAAAAUGAAACGGGAGUCGCCACCAAUCCUUUUUUAUGAGGUGUGAUUGGAUCACCUCAAAAUUGGUUGUUUUUAAUAAACGGUUUGAUUUUAUUAAAACAACAAGUUUGGUCCACGAAAUUCAGAAAAACGGGUUCGGGAGUCGGUUACGCACGAGGAAGGAUUAGCACCCUCGAUACGCCCAAAAUUGGUACCUAGUUGAUUAGUUAAUGUCUUAAUGUCAAAAAUUAAAAACUUUGAAGAAUUUUAAAAUACGAUCCUCUGUUUUAAAAGACUUAUAUGAAACAAAUUGCUUGUCUAAAAACUCAUAUGAUAAAAUUUAAAAAGGAUAUCCAAUUGUUCGAGUCAGAUGAGGAAAUCGCAGUCCAAUGCGUUAGGGCACAAUUUCUCAACGUUCCGAACAUUGAAUAUUGCCUUAGUUAUUUUUAAGAAAAAUCCUCAUCUCGAAAAAAAAACAACGUGUCACAUCCAAUACGUUAGAACACAACAUUUUGAAUUCCCGAUAAUGAGCUUUUAUUCAUGUUUUAAAGAAGUAAUCUCGAUUAUUUAGAUUCAACAAAGAAAAGUGGAACCCAAUACGUUAGGGCUCGAUUCUCUCGAAGAUCCCAAAUACCGAGUAUUACUUAUAUUUUUAAAAUUUCUUUCUUGAAAUCUAAAUAAAAAUGGGUGUAAUGAAAUUAUGAUGAUAAUGUAAGUAAAAUAAUCACGAGCAAAACAAUAGAAGGGGCACAUAAAAAAAACAAUUAUACAUGAAAUAAUGAGUAAAUAAAAAGAACUAAAGCAUUUCAUAAAAAUAAUGAUGAGCAAAUAAAUAAAUAUCAAAUAAAACAAUCGAGAACAAUAUAAAUUACAAAAAAUACAUUAUUUAUGUAUGUAUAUCUAUGUAUAUAUAUAAAUUAUAAAGCCUUAAAAAUAAGUAUGUAUAUUUAAAAUAUGUGGGUAUACAUAUAUAAAGUAUAAAAUACAAAUAAUAUAUAAGUAAGUAUAUAUAUAUUAAAGUAUAAAAAUAUAAGUACGUAUAUAUAAAAUUUAAAUAUGUAGAUAUAUAUAUAUAUAUAUAUAUAUAUAUAUGUUAGUAUGAAUAUAUAUAACAAAAUCUAAAAAUGGUAUAAGUGGGUAAAUAAUAAUAAUAAGGAAAGUAAUAAUAAUAAAUGCAAUAACAACAACAACAACAACAACAACAACAACAACAACAAUAAUAAUAAUAAUAAUAAUAAUAAUAAUAAUAAUAAUAAUAAUAAUAAUAAUAAUAAUAAAGGAUUAGAUUGAAAGCAAAACAAAGUCCCAGGGGAGAAAUCAGAAUAAAAUAAAGAAAAAGAUUAAUUUGGAAUGCGCGUGAAAAAAGGAGGACCAAAAAAAGAAAUAUCCCAUCCCUCCCAACGCAUCACUUUACGUAGGACUAAAAUGAAACAACAAUAGAACUAUACGGCUAAAUUAAAAAUAAAGAAAAGUAGGACAGAUGGGCAAAUUGCAACGCGCUGCAAACGUGGAGGGACCGCGCGCGCAAAUAGCCCUUUUAAAGAAAACACGCGGAUCCUCCCCUCAGGGUCGGGUCACCGCGCGGGUCUAACGCAAAACGGCGCCGUUUUGGGCGCUUGAAGCCAGCCUCAAAACGACGUCGUUUUGCAGGCUUAUAUAACCUUUUUUGAACAAAAAAAAAAUCAUUUCAUCCCUUGUUUUUUUUAAAAAAACUCCCAACUCUCUCUCAACUUCUCUUCCCCUUUUCUAUGUACUGCCCAGAAUUCGGCCAACGCCGCCGCCGCGCCGGCCACCGUACACGGUGGCCGAAAAAAUCAAAAAGGUAUAUUUUUUAUUUUUUUGUUUUUUCUUUUACUUAUAAACAUUCUAAAAUAUACUUUAAAAAAUAAAAAUAAAAUAAUGAAAGAAAAAAAGAACGAAGAGGAAACACACGGCUCAACCUUUUGAAGUUUCUGUUUUGCUUCCUUUUUUAUUUUCAAUUUUUUUUCAAAGGGGGAACCCCUUACAAGGCUUCCAUUCUCGGCUUUUAUAGCCGAUUUACAUGAGUUUUUUAAAUCUAUCCUAUGCUUGUCAUUUCUGCCUUGAUUUAUUUGUUUGCAGGCAUCGGCGCAAGUGGAUGGAGAUGACAGUGGCAGUUGGCGGUGGUUGGGAUUAGGUGUGGCGUCAGAAGCAAGUGGCGGCCAGGAGCUGGUGGUGGUAGUUGGGGUUGGUGGCUGCGGCGGCUGAAGCUAGGGUUAGGGGCUAGGGUUUCUUUUGUUGUUUAGGUUGUGGGCUUGUUGGGUAUUUGGGCUUGGUUGGUAUUUCGGUUAGGCUAUUGGGUUUAUUUUUGGGUCUGCUAUUGGGCUAUUCGGGUUUGGGUUUCUGUUUAGGUGGGUUGUUGGGUCAAAAUGGGCCUGUACAGCUGCCCCUCUUUGCUUGUUGUCGUGUAACGAUAAAAGAGCAAAGACUAAGAAAGGCCCAUUUUGCCCGGCCUCGCCAAUUCGUGACUUGUUUUGGUGCUUCUCUUCUUCAAGUAGUUUCACUCCAAUCCAAUGUCUCGUGUUGCUUCAAUCCACUCCACUGCAACUUCAGAGAGAUACGACUUGUAGCUUCAAUCCACUCUGUUGUAACUUUAGGGGGAUGAGAUUCGUGGUAAGAUUCGUUAUUGUUGAUCUGCUUCACUACUGCUUAGGGGGACAGAAUUACAGUCUUCGAUCUAUUCCACUGCCAACUAGAGAGAUAAAAUCAUCGGCUUCAAUGUACUCCACUGUAGUCAUAGGGAGGUAAAAUCUGCCAUCUUUGAUCUUCAAUCUAUUCCACUGCCAACUAGGGAGAUAGAAUUAUCGGCUUCAAUGUACUCCACUGUAGUCACCGUGAGGUAAAAUCUGCCAUCCUCGAUCUUCUCCACUACUGCUUAGGGAGAUAAGAUAUGUAAUCUUCAAUCUAUUCCACUACUGUCCAGAGAGAUAGAAUUAUCAGCUUCAAUGUACUCCACUAUAGUCACAGUGAGGUAAAAUCUGCCAUUACUCGACCUGCUCCACUACUGCUUAGGGAGAAAGAUCUGAAAUCUUCAAUCUAUUCCACUGCCAACCAGGGAGGUAGAAUUAUCGGCUUCUGUCUGCUCCACUGCAACUUCAAGGAGAUAAGACUAGAUGCGAUAUGCUCUAUUGUAGCUUCAGAGAGAAGAUCUGUGAUUUUCAAUCUGUUUAACUGCAAUGUCGGGGAAAUAAGAUUCGCCGUUGUAGCUUCAAUCUGUUCCACUGUAUCGCCUAGGAGUAAAAUUCACUGUUGUGGCUUCAAUCUUUUAAAUUGCAAUGUUGGGGAAGCGAGAUUCGCCGUUGUGACUUCAAUCUGUUCCUCUGCAUCGCCUGGAAGUAAGAUUCACCAUUGUGGCUUCAAUCUUUUAAAUUGCAAUGUCGGGGAAGUGAGAUUCACCGUUGUGACUUCAAUCUGUUCCGCUGCAUCGCCUGAGAAGUAAGAUUCGUUGCUGUGGCUUCAAUCUUUUAAAUUGCAAACUAUGGUUUCUUCGAUCUGCUUCGUUGUCAGCACAGGAAGGCAAGGCUACUGUCUUCAUCUGCUUCGCUGCCAGCAUAGGAAGGCAUGAUCUGCUAUCUUCAGUCUACUUCACUGUCAGUACAGAAAGGCAAGGCUUGUGUCUUCGAUCUGCUUCGCUUGCCAGUACAGGAAGGCAUGAUCUGCUAUCUUUAACCAGUUCCACUGCAACCGAUGAAGGCAAGGUUUUAUUUUCGAUCUGCUUCGUUGUUAAUGCAGGAAGGCAAGAUCUGCUUCUUUAACCAGCUCCACUGCAACCAAUGAAGGCAAGGCUUUGUUUUCGAUCUGCUUCGCUGUUAAUACAGGAAGGCAAGAUCUACUUCUUUAACCAGCUCCAUUGCAACCAAUAAAGGCAAGGCUUGUGUCUUCGACCUGCUUCGCUGUCAAUGCAGGAAGGCAAGAUCUGCUAUCUUCAGUCUACUUCACUGUCAGUACAGAAAGGUAAGGCUUGUGUCUUCGAUCUGCUUCACUUACCAGUACAGGAAGGCAUGAUCUGCUAUCUUUAACCAGUUCCACUGCAACCGAUGAAGGCAAGGUUUUGUUUUCGAUCUGCUUCGUUGUUAAUGCAGGAAGGCAAGAUCUGCUUCUUUAACCAGCUCCACUGCAACCAAUGAAGGCAAGGCUUUGUUUUCGAUCUGCUUCGCUGUUAAUGCAGGAAGGCAAGAUCUACUUCUUUAACCAGCUCCAUUGCAACCAAUGAAGGCAAGGCUUGUGUCUUCGACCUGCUUCGCUGUCAAUGCAGGAAGGCAAGAUCUGUUGUCUUCACUGAUCUGUUCUCUAGGGAACAAUACAUGUAUGUUCUAUUUUAUGAACUUAUUUAUGCCUAGUGACUAGGAUGACAUGAUCAGAAUGAAUCAAAUGCUCCUAACUAGAUGUGUAUAAAUGUAAAAUGUCAUGAAAAUGAUUCAUUAAUGCUUAGGUUAUCAUCACGCAAAAGCAUAUUAAGGCUUUAUCAUUGACGUGCUACAACGCCUUCUUGCUCGGCUGGCGUAAUCCAAAGAAAGACUUAAUCUGAUUGCCCCCACUGUGAACGUCAAAGUUCAAUCCACUGGGACAUAAAAUUUGUACCAUUAAUUUCCCACUGUAACCCAAGGGUAGAAAGAUAUGGCUUUUCUCAAUCUUCUCCUAUCGCGAUUCAAGGAUACAGAAUGUGAAGCUCUUUUGUCCUUUACCCCAUUCCCAAGGUGUCAUACCAAAUGCUCAUGCACAAUGAAGAAUUUUCUUCUCCCAGAAGACCUUUUCUUACCACUCGGUAAUCAUUGCUUGUUUGUUGAUUGAAGCUUUGUCACCAACACGACAUCUUGUCAUUUUGUUCAAUCAAUGUUUGGACAACAAAAUCUGAAAAGAGAGCCUUUAACUUAGACUCUUCCUUCUUAGAUAUUUCAACCUUUAAACUUGGUGUUUUUUAAAUAAUAGUCCUGUUUUGGGUUCCUAUAUUAUUUAGAAACUUCUAGAGUAAUAUGCAAAACUUUCAUUGUGAAUGUAUCAUCAUUCCAAUACAACAUGCUUGCAAGAAGAAUAUAUCGAUGGAUAAAAUAGAAUUGAUUUGAGAGCAAGCUCAAAAUGAAUAAAUUAUCAAGGAUAAAAAGAAUAAAAGAGGAAUUGAUUGGAACAUGUAUCUUGAAAAAGAAUGAAGUAUUCCAAGAACAACAAAUUCAAUAUAUAAAUACUAUGAAUGUUAGGUGCCCCAGAUAUCGCAGCUUGAACUUCUCUGUACAAACUUUCUGAAGACUUUCCUGAGUUUGACAUGUGUUUAGGAGAUCUACAGGACUCUGUCGAUGCCCCAAGAUGUCGCCUUACCCUUUCAGGUAUAGUAAGAUCACCACAUGCCCCGAUCUGAUCACUUCAUGCCCUAUUCUGAUCAAUAUUUGAGCCGCCCUUCAGGUUUUCAACUCAAAUCCCCUUUGGCCUAAGGUGCCCUUUGCGGGUUUUCCCCUUAGCCUCUUCAUUUUUACUUUUUCAUUUUUUUCAUUUUUCAUCUUCUUUUUUUUUUGACUCAAAGUGCCAUUUGCAAGUUUUCACCUUGGUCAUUUCUUCUUCUUUAAACGAAGUGUUUCUUAACUGGAUCCGAGUUUAUAGGAUUGGCAAUCUCACUCAGGAUCAGUGCUCUUCUGAAAAUGGUCUUCUUUACAACAUAGGGACAUUCCUGGUUUGGCAUUCAUUUCCCUUUAGAAUCCUUUCGUUAAGGAAGAAUUUUUUCAACAUCCAGCCCUCUCGUGGAAUUCUCUAAGACGAGCCUGUUUAUUAUGGGCUCAUAUCAUUUCUCUAUGGUACAUUCGACCCUGAUGAAUAGCUUUUAACCCUUUUCCUAGGGUCAACUGAUCACAUUGCGAUUGGAUCCCUCCAACAAGCAAUAAGGGGAUUUUAAUAGGUAGAUACCUUAAUCCUGUAGACCAAAAAGAGAGGUGUUGCCCCAGUACAGAUGUUCGACAAGUAAUGAGGGCAAAUGGUAAUUUCUCAUGCCAGUCCUUGUUCACCUCUAGGCAAUUCGGUGACGAAACGUGGUGUCUGCUCCUGAAUUGAUUUCAGACCUCAGUUAUCGUGCUAUCAUUUAAGUUCAAUGCAUUUUCCAAUACCAUCCUCUCUGAAAUUCUAUAUCGGUAUAGGAUAACCUUGAUUCAUGAAGUAGCCUCUCAAAGAUGAAGCAACGCCCAUUAGAAGUCUUCGAUAAUGGUGAUGUCCAUGCCCCAUUUUGCUCAAAAUUUGAGUCGCCCUUUUUCAGGUUUUCAACUCAGAUCCACCUUUGGUCAAAGCUCCCUUUGCGGGUUUUCGCCUUGACCUCUCCUUUUUCUUCUCGUUUUUUUCUCCCUUUUUUUUGACUUCGAUUUUUUUUUAUUUUUGAUUUUUGAUUUUUGAUUUUGAUUUUUUGUUUUGUUUUUUUUCCCUUUUUUUUGAGUCUGAACUCAUGAGAUCAGGAAAGUUAUGGUCAUGCUUUUCGACCAGAAUCAAUGUUAUUCUAAAGUCUUCCACAUAAGAUCUUCCACUUUCUACUUGUAUGUGAAAAACCUUAUUAGGUACCAGAUUUUUUUCAUAGAGCCCUUUUGGGACGCAACUACGACAAAAACUUUGGAUCUUCCUCUUUAAUCAGGAUAAAAUCCAACAACAUCUUGAAAGGAUGAAAACUCGACUUCAAAUGGGCAAAGCUAUGCUGACUCAACGAGAGAGGCAUUGCCCCGACAAAGAAUUGCAUCGUUCGCACUGUAAAUUUCUGACAUCGUGUUGUUGUGCAGGUUUUAUUAUAAGAAUCGAGGCAUACCCUGGUAUGAUCCUACAAAGACAUCUUUGAACUCUAGAGGUAACUCAACAAGGUUUUGCUUCGUCUCUGUGGUUAGGUCAAUUCUAGUCUUCACCAAGUUCACAAAUUCUAAUGAUUCCUUGGGAGGUAGGACCUGUUUAUCCUCUUGUUCUACCAUCCUUAACAAGUCCGGAGAUAGGCUACAAUCUAUGUCAUCUUCAAAGUCGUGAGAUCCCUCUAAACACAUGUCUCGCUCAAAAGGAGAUUCUAAGUCUGUAGCAGUGCUAUUGGGCUAUUCGGGUUUGGGUUUCUGUUUAGGUGGGUUGUUGGGUUGUUGGGUCAAAAUGGGCCUGUACAGUUAGCAGUUAAUAAAUUUGUGUAUUAAAUACCCAGUUGUAAGUAUGCUUAUGAUAUGAGAAAAUCAAUAAGAAUCAGUACGUAUUUUCCAAAUCUUAACAAAUGGAACAAGUAGCUAGGGAGGAGGAGGAAGCAAUGACACAUAAAUUUACAUUUCUUUCGCUACAGUUCGUAACAAUUGAGUCGUGUUCCAACUUGACAAAUUUCCAUUUGGGAAGUCAAGCUCUUGAAUUUCCAGAGCUGAGUGAUAUCACGAUAGCUAAGUGUCCAAAAAUGACUGCAUUUUCUUCCUCAGUUUCAAGAGAGAGUGGUGAUGCAAGUGAAGGGGGCAUCUAUGAUAACACUGUAACUUUUUUCAGCAAUAAGGUAAGUUUGGUAUUCAAUAUUUAUCUGUACAACUUAUUUCACAUUUUCUUUUGAUUUGAUCAACAUGAGUGUGUCUGGUCUAUAUAUACAUACUAGUGCUACACCUUGUCAAAAUUUAAUAUAAUAAAAUCCAUAAAAAUAUUAAUAAAUAAGAUAAUAUUUAAAAAAUAAUUGGAGUUUAAAGUAUAAAUAAAUAUAUAAAAUAAGAUUUGAAGGAAAAACUUGAAGUGUAUAAGAAGGAGAGAAUUGUGGAAGACCUUCACAAAGGUCAUUUGAGAUCAAAGGAGAAGAAGCAUGAAAACAAAAGGUGAGGAGUUUGAAGAAGAAAGAACCAAAUAUAUAGAGGAGAAUUGAAGUGAGAGAGUGGAUGCAUAUGGGUUUUAUUUAAAGAUUUAUUGCUUUUUUUUUAAUUUCAUAUAUAGAAAAAAUCAUUGAAAGAAAUAAAAAGUUCAAUAUAAUUUUUUAAAUUUACUUGUCGGGUUUUAUUAAAGUAACUCAAUUUUUUGAUUAAUUAUAAAAAUGACUCAAUUUAAAAAUUAUGUACAUAAAUUAUUCAAUUUCUAUAGUAUUUGUCAGUGCCGCCGGACACAAUGGUGGCACCGACCUACCAUCAUCGACCAAUGAUUGUAUUUUAUUUAAAAAAUAAUAGUUCUUGGACUUGACGAAGUAAUUACCCUUUUUUAAUUAGCAGAAAAAUGGGUCUUCUCAUGAAUAUGGGACACCAAAUUAAAUGCUUUUCAUCUUUUGGUCUAUUUGCAUGUGAGGUUUAUCCUCUUUUGAAAUUAAAUUUAAAUAACCCUUAACAAAUAUAAGAAUAACAAAAUUAAAUCAUUCUCAUUUAUUUUAUUUUAUUUUUAAAAAAUAAACUUAAAAAAUUAUAUAAAAUUCUUAUUUAAAUUAUCCAAAUAUAUCCCUCACACAAUUUCCUUAAGUUUAUCUAAAUUCAAGCAUUUUCAAUUCAUUCCCUAGCAUAUUUAAAUUUAGAUAAACUUAAGGAAAUUUUUUGAGGAAUAUAUUUGGGUAAUUUGAAUUAGAGUUUUAUAUAAUUUUUAAGUUUUUUUUCAAAAAAAAAAGGUUUAAUUUUGUUAAUAUUAUAUUUUUUAAGUGCUAUUUAAAUCUAAUUUCAAAAGGGAACAAACCUAACAUGCAAAUAGGUCAAAAGUUGAAAAACAUUUAAUUUGGUUCAGAUACCAACGACACCUCUUUUUCAACCAAUCUAAAAACGUUAACCGCUUCAAAGGAUCCUUGCACGUUUUAUAUAAUCACAUUCAGUCUGGUGCCGUCAAUUUAUUAGGCUACACCACUACAAUUUUUUUUAAAAAGCAAUCAUUGGCUGAUGAUGGGGGCCGGUGCAGUAAGCACUAUAGAAAUCAGGUCAUUUACGUACAUGAUUUUUAAGUUGGAUCAUUUUCGUAAUUAACCAAAAAAUUUUGGUUACUUUUAACUGUCUAGUUGAUGUGUGAAUAUUAACGUAGAUCAGUUUAUAAAUCUACUCAUUUUGAUUGUCUUCCAAAGUAAAGAAGGAAGAGUGAUACUAUCUUAUAAUGAUAUUUAUGUCAACAAGUUGUCAUUCCUCGUUUGGAGCGUCUGGAUUUGUCCUCCAUCAACAUUCAUAAGAUAUGGCACCACUCAUCCUCCCCAUCUAUCGGAUACCUAAAUUCCUUGGAGGUGAAGAGGUGUCACAAUUUGAAAUACCUAUUCUAGUCUUUCUUAGCAAAAGAUCUUGUGCAACUCCGACGCCUUCGAAUUUUGGACUGUAAGAUGAUGGAACAAGUAAUAUUCACGGAUGGAUUGGUUGAGGAACAUCAAGGGAGGAAUCAGAUGUUUUUCUUUAAUCUAGAUUCGCUGCGGCUAGACGACCUUCCCAAACUCACAAGUUGGUGCUUUGAAAAUUACUUUGAAUUUCACUGUUUGGCAUAUUUAACACUAAGAAAUUGUCCAUUGCUAAAAACAUUCAUCUCUAAAUGUGUACCCGGAGAUGAACCUCAAAUUGGCCAACAUGUACAGGCAAGUAACUUGGAGGUUCAUAACUCAUCUCUCCUCAAUGAAAAGGUAAUUUCUUCAAGGAUCCUCCUUUUAAUUUAUGUUACUUCGAUUGAUUUUAUUCAUUUGAAGUUCUUUCUUUUUCAUACAUAUUUCAGUUAUUAACCUAAUGAAAUGAUUUAUUAGGUUGUUUUCCCUAGUUUGAAGAAGUUGUGGAUUGAGAAUUGUGAUUCGUUAGAAGAAAUUAUUGAGCUGGAACGACUCAUUGCUGAUGAGUCACAGUCAACAUCAGCUGCUCAAUCUAUUAUGCCUGAAACAGUGACGACCAAGUUUGUAUUUCCCAAACUAAUAAACCUUGUAUUAUAUAAGGUGCCAAGAUUGAAAAGUUUCUACUCUAGGAUGCAUACCACCCUGUGGCCUUCAUUGAAACAAAUGAGCAUUGAAAAGUUUCUUUUUCAUACAAGGCGGCAUUGUAUUUCCCAAACUGAAGUAUUUGCAACUAAAGUGUCUGCCAUGUCUAGCAAGCUUUUCCUUGGCCCAUCACUCGUUGGAAUUCCCAGUCUUGCUAAUGGUGAUGGUGACAAAGUGUCCCAAAAUGAGGAAUUUCUGCCAAGGAGAUUUAAGCACACCAAGGCUGGUACAAAUGCACUUAACAAGAGAUGAGGAAGGUGAACUGCAGUGGGAAGGCGACCUUAACACUACCAUAAAACAUAUGUUCGAUGAAAUGGUACAAAUCAUUUAAAGGAUUUAAAUUCAUGUGUUUUUACAUACAUACAUACAUACAUACAUACAUACAUACAUACAUACAUACAUACAUACAUACAUACAUACAUACAUAGUUAAUUGAACAAUUCUUGGUUUGUUAUGAUCAUGCACAGAAUGUGGAAAAUUCUGAGGUGACGGAGGUUACUGAUCAGUUGCCCAAGCUGGAAUAAGGAAAUAUGUUUGGGUGCUAAUGCGAAAAGCUCAAUUUCGUUUGAAUUCAAAACAAAUGGUAAUUGACUCUUCUAUUUUCAUCAUGGCUUAACUAAUGCUUUAUAAAGUGACCAUAGAGACGCCCUUUUCAUUGUAGGUUGAGUUGCUCUACUGAAUUUUCGAGGCUGCAACUUUAGGUAAAAUGUGAAAGGUUAUUUCAGUUUUUGUAAAACUACUAUUUGAACUGUUCCAUUUCACAUUAUACCCUCAAAAUUGAACUUCAAGUGCAUCAUGCAUGGCAUUGGGCUACAAAAAUGUAAACUUUUACUAGUAAGGUUGACCCAUGUUUUAAGGAUUUGCCAACUUUUGAUGGUUACCAUAUCAAUGUCAGCUUAAAGCUAUCAAGCAUCUUUACAAAUAUAAUAUAUAUAUUAUUCCUUAACGAGGGAUAAAAGUAGGCAGCUAUCUACUAAUGAUACGGCUGAUUCUGAAAAGACGGCCGAAAUUGAAUCAAUGGGUUGUUGGUAUUUGCCUGAUGGAAGAACAGUGCCUAAUGUUACGUGGAUGCUGAUCAAGUUUUAAAUUUUCAGUUGUGGGCAUUACUGAUUGUUGUCAUUUGGUUGUUGAUCCUCUGAUUUUACGGUUGACUGUCUUGCUUAUACGUUGCAAGGUUGGCGGGUCUCAAGUAUCAAUUUCCAAGCCGACUAUCAUCCAUAAUUAACUAGGUGUUCCAAUCCAUGGAGUUUAUGGUUUAUUAGUGUAACUGACCAUUUGGUUAUGGAUUGGUUCUUAAGGUGUUUUGAUGCUUUGUAUGUUACAGUGUUUGCUCCAAGCAACACCCUUUAAUUUCUAAGGAAUUUUAUUCGUUGAGGAAAAAAAAAUGAGGAUUACUCUGAUAUUUUAUGUUUGGGUUUAUGAAGAUUUUUGUAUCUUUAAUGAAAGAAAGCAAAUUAAAUAGAGACGUACAAGAUCACAUCCAUAGAUCAACAAAAGGGUUUAAUAUUUCCAUAAAAAGUUGUCCCAGAAAGGCCUUUUAAUGGGAAUUGAUCAUAUAAACUAAUGAAGGCCAUUGAAAAUAAAGCUUGUAAAAAUUUACAAAAAGGAAUUGAUGAGAAUCUUCAAUUUGUUGCGAUAAGAAUUUAUGGCCCUGUAGGAGCCUCUCCCCAAAUCGCUAGCAAAUGAAACAAAAGGAUUAAUGCACUUCGAUAAUGGCAGAUUUAUAUUUGUUACGAAAGGUCAAGAGCCCAAGCUAUCUCAUGCGACAACUUUCCCUUAAAGCAUUCGUGGCUGAGUCUAGUAUUAAUUUUUAUUUGUAUCUUUUAUAUCCAUUUUAUAAUUCAUAUUUGCGAUUUGUAUUAUGCACUUAAUAUUUCAUUAUUUAUUGUCUAUGUUGCUCAUUGUUGCAAAAAGAAGAACCAAACACAAUGCAUGCAUAAACCAUAAAAAAGAAAAUAAAAAAAGAACAUAAGCAACUAAUAAUGAAAUAUAUUAAAAUCAAGAAUGGCAAUUAAUUUCAGAAUCACCCCAAUUUCGGUAAAUAUAUUAAAACAUGUGUCUGUAAUCUGUUUCAAUUUUGAUAUUGAAAAAAUUGGUAUUUCUAAAAAUAUAAGAGUUAUUCUAUCAUUUUCAUUUUUGAAAGUGAUAAGUUAAAGACAAUUAAUUACAACGUUAAUAUUUUUCAUCAAUUAUACAUAAUUUUCUUGGUAUAAUGAUAAAUUUAGCCCUCAAAGUUGACACAUUCUAUCAAUUUGUUAUUGGUUUAAUUAAUUUAACCCACAAUAUUUACACAUUUUGUCAAUUUGAUCAUGAUUUAACAUAUUUAACCCGUAAUAAUUACACAUUCUAUCAACAUUUACACAAAAUAUAUAAUCAUCAAGGAUUAAAUUUAAAAUCAUUGAAAAAAAAAAAGUAGGUUCUAUAUAAUUAUUUAGUCACUCUCACAUUAUUAUUUUUCCCAUUCAAAGUUAAAAAGUCUUUUUUGUGAAAAAUAGUAAUAUUUUGGUCCCCGCCAUGUGUGUGAAGGAAAAUUAACAACAUCACACAAUCAAAUCUCUUUUUUCUGCCAUACCUUUGUGCCUCCGAAGAAAGUUAAAUUAUUAAGGCACAAAAGUACCAAGGUGUAGAAGCUACCAAAAGAGGAGCAUGAAAAUAAAGAGAGAUACAUAUAUUACGUCUGGCAUGAAAUAUUUACAUCUUUUAUUAAGUAAGAUUUUCUAGUUAAAUUUAAUUUUAAAUCCUAUAAAAAAAAGUUGAAUUUGAUAAUCAACGUUUAAAAAAGAGUUGAAUUAUUAUUUUUUAAUAAAAAUAUUAACCAAAAUGUUAAAUUUCAAAAUGUGGCAAUCCGUAUAACAAUUCAGGUGUAGUUCAUGCAAAAAAAAAUAGACCUGUUUAAAAUAUGCUUGGUUUUUAUGAACUCUUUUUGUAGGAAAUUUUUAUUUUUUAAUAUUUUUUUAAUAUUUAUUUAUUGACGUGACAUAUAAGAUAAAUAAUACCAUGUCAACAUAAAGUACAUGUGGCCUGCUACAUGGGUUAUCAUGCCAACUUUGUUAAAAAUUAAUGUUUUAGUCAAUAUUUUUUAAAAAGAACACAAUUUGACUCUUUUUUAAAGGUUAAUGGUCAAAUUUAAAUUAAAAAAUAAUAAUGAUCAAAUUUACAAAAGAUGUAAAUAUUAAGUGCUGAAUUUAUCAUUAUACUUAUAUUAUUUUAAGUAAAAUUUUUGGAUUUGAAUUUGAAUUAUUUCAAGUUUAGAUUAUGUUGAGUUCAAGUCAGUUUAGACUCGAAUAUUUUGGGAAAUUUAAAUAGUUUUGAUCUCGCAACAUUUCAAGAGAAAAUUAGCAAGUCAAAAUUACAAUUAUAAAAUAAUAUAUAUCAUUUAUCUAUUUAUCUAUAUAAGUUUGAAUUACUAAAAGUUAUUGAGGCAUUAGUAUUUGUGUUGACGCAUGGGAGUUUAGGUUCAAUCUCUUGAUUGAAAUAAUAUUUUAAAAAUAUUUUAAAAAUAUGGGAGGGUUUGGGUAAAAAUAUAGGUCCGAAAUAUGAGUUUGGGCAAAAAACAAGGUCCGUUUAGAAAACGGGCCGGUCUUCGGGCAAAAUUUUUUUGCCUGAGCCCGGCCCGGCCCGAAAAUAUAUUUUUUAUUUUUAAAAUAUACUAGUUUUAGUUUUAUUUUAAGUUUUAAGUUACAAAAUGUUAGAUUUUGUUGCAACAAUUAAUAAAAUUAACAACUAAUAAUUUGAUAUAAUUUGAUAAUUUUACUAACAAUUAAUACAAUUAACAAUUAAUAAUUUUACUACAAAAAUGUUAGUAACAAUUAAUAAUUAAUAAUUUAAUAUAAUUUGAUAAUUUUAGUAACAAUUAAUACAAUUAACAAUUAAAAAUUUUACUAACAAAAUGUUAGAUUUUACAAAAUGUUGACUGGUACAAAAAAUAUAUAAUUUGAUACAAUUUUAAUAACAAUUAAUUUUAAUAAUAAUUAGCUUUAAUUUUAAUAAAAAUAUAAUUUUAAUUUUAAUUAAAAAACGGACCGGGCCAGGCUGGGCUCGGGCCCAGGAAGCGGGCUGAAAAUUUUUUUGGGUCAGGCCCGAACUCGGCCUGGACCUACCCAUGGACACCUCUACCCAUUUACAAUGAACAACCUUUUUACGUUUAGAAAGUUUCACAAGAUCCGAUAUUUUAUUUUUGUGGAGUGAUUCCAUCUCCUCUUGUAUAGCAAACAUCCACUUUUCUGAGUCUUCACAGUUAACCGCAUCAGAAUAAUUAGAUGGCUCUUGGUUUACAUCUAUAUCUUCAGCCACAUUUAAAGCAUAAGCAACUAGAUCAGCCUCGUCAUACUUCUUUGGAGGUUUAAUUUCUCUUCUAGUUUUGUUUUUGGUAAUAGAAUAUUGUGGUGAAUUGAAUUUUUGUACUGGCUUGAGGAGUCGACUCUGUUGUAGAUUCUAGAAUAAUCUGAUGCUCCACCUGCUUUUGAUUAAUCUGAUGCUCCACCUGCUUUUGAUUUUCUUUUUUGGAAGAGUCUUUAAGAGAUAUGUUAGGUAGCAUAACAGUUUCAUCAAAAACAACAUCUCUGUUAAUCACAACUUUUCUAUUUUCAGGAUACCAUAACUUAUACACUUUUACACCAGCUUUAUAACCAAGAAAAACACAUUUAAUGGUACACAAUAAUAAAUUUUCCAUUAUCAACAUGAGCAUACACAAGACACCCAAAAAUCUUUAAAUCAGAAUCGUCAGCAGGAUUACCAGACCAUACCUCUUAUGGAGUCUUUUUCUCAAUGGCAACGGAUAGAGACCGAUUGAUCAAAAACAUGUAGUUGACACUGCUUUGGCCCAAAAUAACUUUAGUAAGUUGACAUUUGACAACAUACAUUGAACCUUCUUCAUGAUCGUUCUAUUCAUUCGUUCUACAAUACCUUUUUUAAAAUGGUCAUUUUCUAAAAUGAAAAACACUAUGAAAUGCUUCUAUGUCCUAUGAAUUAUAAAGGAAUGCUGUUGAAAUAUUCCCAUCGAUACAUACAUACAUAUUCGUGAAGUAUGUUCUAAUAUAAUAUCAAUAUUGGGAUUUACGUUUUAUAGAGCAACAUUAUUGAUUGGUAAUAUACAUUGAUUCCAAGGCAAACCUAAAUAUUUUAAAAUUUAACCUAUAACUGUGGCAAAUCAAACUUAAUAGUAACCCGAUUGUAAUGUGACUCAAAUAUGAAAGUAACAUUGGUUUAUAUAUAUUUUUCUCUAAGUUCUACUAAUCAAGUUGGGAUAAGUGAUAAACACUGAGCUUGCCACGUGUGUUAACCACGUUUUUAUCAUGUGCCACUCCAAAGACAUCAGGCCUCUAUUCAGGCUGGCAUGGUCAGGACGUGGCAGCAUACUUCAGGCCCGUUAGAAAACAUCCCAUAUCGCUAAAGAACUAUAACACAGGAGCGUUUAUAUAAGCGAAACCAGAUGGUUUUCCCUUCGGGGACAUCCGAUAAAAUUGGAACGAUACAGAGAAGAUUAGCAUGGCCCCUGCGCAAGGAUGACACGCACAAAUCGAGAAAUGGUCCAAAUUUUUUUCCCUUUUUUUUCCCACAUUUUUACAGCUCUGUUUCUUUUUUUUUUUCCUGGGUUUGGUGUUCAUAUUCGUGGGUUUUUGUGCACUUAAGAUUGCAAUUAGAGUUUUCUUUCUUUCUUUUACUGGGCUCGGUCUGUUUUACUCUCUUGAACUGUGAAUUUGAUUUUUUUUUUUUUGCCAUUUUUUCAGCUUUGUUGCUUUUUUCCCCCUGGGUUUAGUUUUCAUGUUCAUGGGUUCCGCGCACUUAAGAUUGCAUUAGAGUUUUUUUUUUUCCUUUUUACUGGGUGUUUUGGCCAGUUCUACUCUGUUGAACCGUGAAUACCUCAAGUUUUCUGGGAAUAAAUUGUUGCUUAUAUAUUUGCUGGUCAACAGUGCUAAUUUUCUGAUAUAUUGGCCAGAAUUGAAGGAUGAAGGUCCAACUUUGCUUUUGGUCCUUCUACUACUAUCUUAAGAUUUAAAAGAAAUUCAAUUAAACAAUUUCUUCCAAUAAAAUUAAAUAAGAAGGCCCAGAAAUUGACCUGCACACUUAGACAUGUUUCUCUUUGAAAAAAAUUCAAACAGGAUUUUAAAAUUUGCAAUGUGUUUUAUGUAAAUCAAAUGAUAUCCUGGAUUUUGCUAAGGGUGCUUCAUAUCCUUGAAUCCUUUUUUUGCUUGGCAAGUGAUUCAUUGAGUUUUUGUGAUCAAAUUUCAUGUUUCCUUUUUUAGUACGGGAAUUUGUGGGAAAAUGCUUGGCAAUAUGGAAAUGAAACCAAUUUCCAUUUCCAAAGGCACCAGCAAAGUGGUGAAGCUUAUUAUUGAAAAAUUCUUCAAUAAUGUCAAUAAUGAAAAAGUAGAAAAUGGAAAAACAGAGAAUAAUUUGGUUCUUCAUCCUAUUUGUAGUUAUAGUGAAUGGAUUUCUUUGAUUUUAGUAACUAAUAUUAUGAUUCCAACAUUUGGGGUUUUAAUCUCACUACAUGAACUUGGCUUUGCUUCUUAGUGUUAUUGUUCAACUUUUUAGGAUACCUCUAUCUUAAUCCAUUUAUGUGAUUUGAUAAUGAUAUUUGCAGGCACUUAAAUCUUCCAUUGAAAUGGAGAACACCAAUUACGACGAGGAGCUGAAGAAUGAUUGCAGGCUUGUUUGCAGUCUCAUAUACGAUAUUAAUUGCAGAAAAGAACGGUUGUCACAAAUGGAACGUGAAUAUAACGAGAUGACCGCAACUCUUCGAGGACUCAUCAAUGGCCUCAUAGCAAAAAUUAACUCCAAGGACAGUAAUCUGUGGGGUUGGGAGCUUCAAUAUAAUGUAACCGUGAGACAGUUGAAGGGCAAGAAUGCUGCGUUGCGCCUUUCGUUUGCUGAAGGUACUUUACAUUAUAUAUGUGUAUGUAGUGAGCAGAAUACUAUGUGUUAAUUGAAUCGUUUGGUACCCAUUGAUUGAUCUAUAUAAAUGUCAGGAUUUGAACCCCAAACUUAGCUUUUAUUACGGGAACCGGAUCAAUUUAGGCUCGGAUAAGCUUAAUGGGCUCAGAACCAGAUAAGAACAUAAUAUAUGGGAACACUUUGGCCAUACGAGGCUAAUGCUUAUAUGAUUCGCAUUACAGACUACAUGCACUGUUAGUUGAAUAGCUUUAUGAUGUAUUAAUCUAUAAAAUCUGGGUGUCAUAUUAUGAGUUCCAUUGCUAUGUUAAUCUAUGUACUAACAAUAUUAUGAAGUAAGGCAAUUUUGUGUACAUUAUAUUGGGACGCAAGCUGAAUUCCUAUUAAUCAGCUUCAACCAUACAUACAUACAUACAUACAUACAUACAUAAGAACGUAAGUGCUGUUAAAUNNNNNNNNNNNNNNNNNNNNNNNNNNNNNNNNNNNNNNNNNNNNNNNNNNNNNNNNNNNNNNNNNNNNNNNNNNNNNNNNNNNNNNNNNNNNNNNNNNNNNNNNNNNNNNNNNNNNNNNNNNNNNNNNNNNNNNNNNNNNNNNNNNNNNNNNNNNNNNNNNNNNNNNNNNNNNNNNNNNNNNNNNNNNNNNNNNNNNNNNNNNNNNNNNNNNNNNNNNNNNNNNNNNNNNNNNNNNNNNNNNNNNNNNNNNNNNNNNNNNNNNCAAGUGUUAUCCUUCAUUUAUCUUGAUGAUUCUCUAACGCCGCCAAUAUUCCCCCCUAAGUUUACAGCAAGAAGAAGAAGAAAAAGAAGACAAACGGCAACGUUAAGCCAUUUUCAUCCCAGGUUAAUUUUUUUGUAAAUUAAACAUUUUUUGUAUACAUUUUGUUACCUAUUUAUAUUAUGUUUUUGAAGUUUCCAUUGACAUUUCUACCUUUCCAAAAUGGUGUCUUUUUACUUGUUUUUUACUGGGUUAUUGACACUUGUUCGAUAGAAUAAAUUUCUUUGAUUUUAGGGUUCUAUAUGUAUUUUUUUUGUAUGAAUUUUAACUUGAGUUAGCCAUAAAAAUUCCACCUUUAAUCUCAAUAUAUGAACUUGGCUUUGCUUCUUAUGGUUAUUAUUUGUUUAAUUUUUUAAGAUACCUUCUUGAGAUCUGAUUAUUUAAUCCAUUUAUGUGAUUGAUAAUGAUAUUUUCAGGCACUUAAUCUUCCAUUAAAAUGGAGAAAACCAACUACGAGCUGGAGCUGAAGCUGAAGAACGAGCGAAGGCGUGUUUGCAGUCUCUUAUACAAGAUUGAUUGUAGAAAGCAACAGUGGUUCGAAAUGGAACGUAAAUAUAACAAGACGACUGCGACUCUUCAAGGACUCGUUGAUGGCCUCAUAGUGAAAAUUAACUCCAAGGACAGUUGUUUGUGGGAUUGGGAGCUUCGAUAUAACGAAACCGUGAGACAGUUGAAGGGCGAGAACGCGGCGUUGCGCCGUGUGUUUGCCGAAGGUACUUUAGAUUAUAUAUGCAUACAUUAGUGAGCAUAAUACUAUGUAUUAAUCGAAUCAGGUGGUACAAUGAAAGACAUCUUGUCUUUUGAUGUUACACGAUUUGCAUCUAGAGCUUUGAUUGAUCUUAGGGUCGUUCUUUCGGUACAAAAGAAGUCACGGAUUAAGGAUUGGGAAGGGGAUAAAAUUUUCGGGAUUCGAAUCCCAAACUUAGCUUUUAUUACUGGAACCAGAUAAAUUUAGGCUUGGUUAAGCUUUAAUGUGUUCGGCACCUUUCCAACUUGUUUUCUUUGAUGCAGAAAAUCGAAAGGAAAAGGCUGAAAACUUUAAGCUGAGAUGUGAACUUAGAUGGCAAACCAAGGAACUCGAAGAUUAUAAAUCUUGGAAUGAUAACAAUAUGGAACGAAGAAGCUUGUUGAAUGAAAUUGAAGCGAUUAGUAUACUCAGUCUUAAUUUUCGUUUUUGAUAUAUGAACUAUCUUUUAUCGAGAUUGCUGGGAAAACCUGCGGUUAAAUUGUUGAUGGUUAUGAUUUGCCGAGUGGACAUUUAACAAUGUGGAUUGUAUCUGAUACAGCCGAAAGAGAAUGUGCCUUGUUGAGAUCUUGUUGAACUCAAGAAAACUAUGAGCGAUCAGAUUGCUGCUCUAAAGGAACAAUUGGAGGAAACAUCAGAGGCAUUGAAAGAUAUGGAAAGCCGAUACAGUUGUCUUACAGUGAAACAAAUCUUAACUAAUCGAGAACUGCAAGAUGCUCGAAAAGAAUCAAUAAGUGUAUUUCCUCGUUUUCCUUUGUUUUCUUGGAUGUUAUAUUUCUUUAGGUGCAAGAAAUACCUCUUCGGAAUCAGGUAUGAAAGUGUUAAACCGAAGACUUUUCUGGUUCUUGAUAUGCAGGGUCUAAAUGAUGUAUUGACAAGCCGAACAACUCUUGUAGUAAAAAGAAUGGGGGAGAUCGAUCAAAAAGCUUUUGAAGUUGCUAGCUCUAGGAAGUUCCCGAACAAAGAUUGGCAAGAAACAUGUGCUAAAUUAUGUUCAUUAUGGCAACAAAACGUGCAGGAUCCGAAAUGGCACCCGUUUAAGAUGAUCAAUAUCCGAGGCAACUUGCAGGCAUGGUGUAUACACCAACUAGUCUGUUAUCCGGUUAUCGAAAAUCCAUUUUUUUACUAAACGUGCUAAACAUGUAUGUCAGAAUCGAGCCAGUUUAUUACUCGAACUUAUAUAUAUUAAGGGGAUGGCUACUCGGUAGUGUAGGAAAUAGUAGACGAAGACGACCAGAAGCUGAAGGAGUUGAGAAAUGAAUACGGUGAUGUCGUGUACGAGGCUGUUAGCACCGCAUUGAUGGAAAUGAACGAAUAUAAUGCGAGCGGAAGGUAUGCAGUCAUUUAAGCUAGUUGAGUGACCUGCAAUCUAGUUUAUCAUUUUUAAAAUAUUUAUAGUCUAUGAAUUUUGACUUUUCUUCCAAUAAUAUAUCUCCGAAAUUCUAACUUAACCUUUUUAAACUUUGUCAUGUGAUUAUUAUUAAAGUUAAUUGCACCAAAUAUCUCCAAACUAUGGCCCUUAUUCUAAAAUAGUCCUCAAACUCAAAAUAUUUUAAAUUAUAUUUCCAAAUUAUCAAUAUUAUAUCAAUAAUGUUCUUCUGUUGCUAAAAUCAUUAAAUGAGACGUCAAAUCUUAUGAGACAUAAUUUAAAAUAAAAAAACUUAAAGAAAAAUGAAUAUAUUGUAAAAAUAUUGAUUUCAAGGUUUUCGAAGCUAUUACAAAAACUAUCAUUUAUUUUCUCUUUUACUUUAUUUUUAAUUUUUAAUUUUAAAAGUUGUAUCAACAACAUUUUACUUUUCUUUAAAAAUAUCAUUUUAAAUUAAUAGUGUCAAUAAUAAAAGGAUGAGAUAAAUAGUUUAAAAUAUUUUAAAGUUGGGAGAAUAAUUUAAAAUAAAGAUGCAAUAUUGUUAAUCUAGUACUAUUUCAUUUUAUCAUUUUAUCGUUUCAACUUUUGAAGACAACAUUUUUAUUUUUGAAAUAUUUUAAAGACAACAUUUAAAGAUUGAUUAUAAUAAUAUUGUUGCAUGGAAAAAGAAUUUCCACGUCAGCAGAAAGGCUUACGCCUGACGUGUGCUUAGUAUUAUUAGAAAAGUCAAAGGUCGAGAAAGUCUAAGGCGGGUCACACAUAUCACACGCCAUGCACAGGUUUUCUUAUUUCGAGGCUAAAAUACCAAAAUACCAUCACAUUUUUUGUUAAAUUUACCACUUAAUCAACGAUCCUCUAAAACGAAGUAAGGACAUAUUAGAAAUUUUAAUCGCAAUAAUAUCACCAAAUCUGAAAUAUUACAAAUGAGGCAAAAAAAAAAAACGAGUAAUAUUUGGCCAUAAAAUGUAAAUAUUCAUUCCCUCUAAACCAGUCGGUUAAGCCUCACAAUCCAACGUAACUGUAAAUCUUUCUUGGCAGCCAUGAAAUCAGUUCUAAAAUCCCUUGCAAACUCAAUCUUCCUUGUUCUAUUCAUCAUCUUUUCAUCUUCUACUCCACUUGUAUUGGCUCAAUGUGAAGCAGAGACCAAGACUAAUGGAUGCCAUAACUACAGAGAAUCCAUGAAGCUAAAAAUCAUCGCCAUUGUCGCAAUUUUACUAUCCAGCAUGAUUGGCGUGUGUCUACCAUUGUUUUCUGGUCAGGUUCCGUUACUUAAACCCGACAGGGACUUGUUCACCAUUGUCAAGGCAUUUUCCUCCGGUGUUAUUCUAGCGACUGGUUACAUGCACGUGCUACCGGAUUCUUUCAACGACCUUAUGUCCGGGUGUUUGCCUGAAAACCCAUGGAGGAAGUUCCCUUUCACAACCUUCGUCGCAAUGCUGUCGGCUGUGUUGACCCUUAUGGUGGAUUCAUUUGCAAUGAGUGUAUACAAGAAACGUUGCGGUAAAGCUUUAAUGGCGGAUGCUAACAAUGGUGGUGGAUUGGAAAAUACGAACGUUGUACCAAUCGAUAAUUUUGAACACGGCCAUAGCCAUUCACUUGAGAUGAAUGACGACGUAUCAUCACAAUUGUUAAGGCAUCGAGUUAUUGCUCAGGUANNNNNNNNNNNNNNNNNNNNNNNNNNNNNNNNNNNNNNNNNNNNNNNNNNNNNNNNNNNNNNNNNNNNNNNNNNNNNNNNNNNNNNNNNNNNNNNNNNNNUUGGGAAUUGUAGUUCAUUCAGUGGUGAUUGGUCUUGCAAUGGGAGCCUCUGGCAACCAAUGCACCAUUCGAUCACUCAUUGCUGCCCUUUGCUUCCAUCAAAUGUUUGAGGGGAUGGGACUUGGUGGAUGCAUACUGCAGGUAACCCCCAACAUUGCACUAUUUUCUCAUUCAAACAUCCAUUUAGUGUACAAUAUUGAUUAACAUUAUGUUGAUAUGUGCAGGCUGAAUAUGAGAUAAAAAUGAAAGCAAUCAUGGUAUUCUUCUUUUCAGCCACAACGCCACUUGGAAUAGUUCUGGGAAUUGGUUUGUCCAAGGUUUACAGUGAGACGAGUCCAACUUCACUUAUGGUGGUGGGACUACUUAAUGCUUGCUCAGCAGGGUUGCUGAAUUACAUGGCACUGGUUGAUCUCCUUGCAGCUGAUUUUCUGGGCCCUAAGCUUCAAACAAAUAUGAAGCUCCAGGCUUGGUCAUAUGUUGCAGUUUUACUUGGUGCUGGAUUUAUGUCUUUGAUGGCAAAAUGGGCUUAGUCACUUCAACAUAUACAUGUCUUUUUGUAGUUUUUCAAUCUUCUUUUCUUUUUUUUUUGUUCUUUUUUUGCUUCAACAGAUGAGUUUAUAGUGAAUCAACACUUAUUCAAUCAAUUAUUUACCAUUAUGAAACAAUGCUUACGUUAAACUUUUUUUAACCCCCCCGGCCCCCCGCAAUGCAUGAAUACCGAUGAUUGUUUACCAUUAUGAAAGUACAAAUGCAGACACCCCUGUUGUUGGAAAAAUUGCAUUUUUAUGGGAACUUUAAAGCAUAUUCUCUAUAGGUAAAAGUGGAGAGUUGAACCAUAAAUUAUGAUUUCAUAUUCUACUCCAUGAGACCUUUACAACAAUAUAUCAUAUGCUCAAAAUGGUUGAAAUAAAUGAGAAAUUGAUGCUCAAAGUAAGCUAAAAAUAAAGGCUUGGAUCCAUAUUGGUUAAAUACCAAAGUGUGAGAUGGGUUUAUAUAUGUGAACCCUCUUAAAAAGAUAAUUGAAUGAUUAAGUUUGUAACUUUGUCUUGUGCGUAGAAAGUAUAGGUCUAAACCUGAAAGGGUUGGGGCACACCCGCACGAUGUGGGCAACGCGAAAUGUUUGGACCGGUCAAGCUUAAUUGGGCUUACGGAUAUUUUAAGCAAGCCCAACACGAAUUUAUUUUCCCUCAGCAGACAUAAUCUGCUUAUAUAUAGACAGUAUCUAAUUUGAUUUAAUUUUUAAAUCAAAUUGAUUUUUAUGUUUAUUUCCUUAAUUUUUAAAUCUAAUUUGACUUUUCUUUAAUUGAAGAUUUUAUGUUUAUUUCCAAAUGUUUUUACUAUCCUAAAUGCCUAUAAAAUGCUGUGUAUUCUGGAGGAUUACAAACACAUUCAAAUAAUUUUCUAUACCGAAAUUCUAUUCAUUUCAAAACUCUUCUUUUGCCUCUCCCUAUUUUUACAAUAUUCUAGUGAUUGAAAAAGAAAAAGUUCAUUUGUUCGAUCGUUGUAGAGGUGCUACUACUUUGAUCAUUGUUGUUGUUGUAUCCUGGGAGAUAUUCGACUAACGUUUCUCCAAGUACCGUAGGAGCGGCCGAAUUUGCCUUAAGGAAACUGUGUUUCGCAGGCCUCAACUUUUCGUAAAAUCUCGAUUCUACUUUAUUUCAACUUUUUAUUUGAUUUUUAUAUUUGAUAAAUUAAUUAGAAAUCAUUCUACUUAUAUUUUAUUUCAUAUGUGUUUAUUUAUAAUUAAUUAUUUUGUUCGCUAACGUGUUUUGUCCAACACCUAUUACAAUUUUUAUGGUUCGAUUCAUUUUGAUGAAGAUUUCCCCAAGAUAAUACUUACUUCAUAAAACUUCCUAGCAGUGAAACAUGGUACUUAUCUUACAACAAGACUUUGCUAGGAGCACUGCGAAAUAUGUUCUUAUUAACAUAUGUAACGUAUUAAUCCUUAGUUUCAUCAUGAAUUUGGAUACAAAUGUGUUAAUGGAUAUAGCCACAUAUCUGCAGAUACAGGCACAAGUGAGCAAUGAAGAGAGAGGGGUAGACAGAGAGAGUUGAUAUAUAUUGGGGUUGAAUUUACGGGUUGUGCAAUUGGAUGCAAGAAAGGUGCAGCAGGCACCUAAGGUCACUAGUAUAAAGGACCCACUUGAGCACAAUUUUGUGUUUCAAUUCAAAUGUUGCUCUCCCAGAUGAUGUUUGGCACCAAAUGGAUUAGGUGUUAAUCCAGUCCCCCUCCGUACAUAGCACUGCUUUCGCAUUUGUAGUGCCCCUUUCGGCCCUUUUCCUUCUGCAUACUAGCUAUGCCUAUAGCAACAUAACUAGGCUAGGCAUGUAUGCGGGUAAAGAACAGCCACUAGUGAUCCCCUUUUAUUCUUCUUUUACUUUUCAGAUUUGGAACAGAAAGGAAGGAAAGCCACCACGAAAGAAAUCAUUGAGUACGUAAUCAGGCAACUGAAGAUUCAUAAGCGUAAACGAAAGCGAAUUCCGUGAUCCCGAGCCGGCUAUUUUCAUGGUAAGCUUACCUAUCCUUUACUGUCAAUCACUAAUCAUUUUACCGUUUAUAUUCGCUUUUUACAUAUCAUGAAAACUAAUCAUUUCGAGAUUUGUGGUUGUCAUUCUCAACAACUUUGUUUUCAAUACUUUUUAAUAUCAUUUUAAAUUUUAAAAUUCUUUUCCAAGUUAAAUACUAAUAUAUAUAUAUAUAUAUAUAUAUAUAUAUUAUAGCCCCAUGUUAUUCAACCUUUAAAUUAAUAUAAACAACUUAUACUGUUAUGAGUUUUUUUUCCCUUUUUUAUCUUCAAAAAUUGUGAAUCAAAGGCAAUUAGAUCUGUGAUUUUUGGAUUUGAAAACCUUAUCAACUUGAACAUAAAUCUUUGAUCAAAUAAACUCGAUAUGAUCUUAUUACAAAAUUUAAACUUCAAAUAAUUUCAAACUUAAAUUUGAAACUGAUUUGGAUGAAAUGAUCUGAAAAUUUCUAAUUUUGAAUUAUUCUAUUAUAGAUCUAGCUAUAGCCCAAUACCCAUCACAAAUAAUUACCUUCUUCCUAAAAGAUAUGUUGCAAUGCACUCGAUUAUUUAUUUAGGACUCUUUUUCUUUCUGAUGUGGGAUUAAUGACUUUGAUUAUGUAUUGAUAAAUUUUAAUUUUGAAAGUAAAAAUAGAGAAACUAAGUUUCAAAUGUACGAAGUGUGUGUAAGAACUUCGAGAAUAUUUUAAUCUUUAAAUUUUUACUUUAUAAUUUAAUACAAAUAAAUAACCAAUUCAAUGCAAAACGAUGUGAGGCUAAUCUUUUUAACAACAUGCCUACAUCCUCAUUUAAUAAAUGAUUUUAAUUUUUAUAUAACUCUCAUUCAGCUUAAUGUAGUAACUAAGUUGAUUAUUAGUAGUGAAGUCAAAAAAAAUAUUUUGAGGGUUGAAAUUAAAUUGAAUAUUUUUACAAUAGUGAAAAUGUAAUUUUACUAUUUUAAUAGUCUAUAUAUAAUUUUAUAAUUAUUAAUUUAAAAUUUUAUAAAUUAUAAAGGAGUCUAAAUGAAAAUUUUUUUCAUUUUAAGGAAACUGACAUUGGUAAUUAUAAUAAGAAUCAAAUUCUGACGUAUGAGGUUAUACAUUAUUUUUCAGUAAUAGAUUUUUUUUUUUCGUUUUAGGUAACAUUUUCCCUAUGUAUUCAUUUAGUUGCCUUACAAAUAAUGUACAUUAUUGUAAAGAGAGUCGAUGUAUAAUUCUUCAAUACUUACCUCGUUUUUUCUUACCCUUUAUUUGCUAAUAAAACACAACGUUUACAUUGGGACCAUAAUUUCAUGCAGAAACGGAAAAGACUUUGCCAUUCCCUAAUAUCCUUCUCUAAAGCAAAGGAUCGUCUAUGUACUAGUGACAAAUGGGUUCAUAUCGGUCUCUCUUUGGAUUAGGAUUACCACCUAUUUGAACUGGUUAAAGUUUGAGUAUUUAGAAUUUGGAUAAUUUCAAGUUUAGAUUGUCUCAAUUUAAAAUAAGUAUUUAGACUAGUUGAUCCACGAACCAGUUGAACAAACGUCCGAGUUGAUUUUUUAAAAUAUAUAAUUUUUAAUUUUUAAUAGUUUAUUCAAUUAAACCAAUUGGACUGAUUAAAUUGAGUAGAGGUGUUUUCUAUUGCACACAAUCUAAUAAAAGACUCCUACAAGGUAAAAAAUAAAAAAAAUUAUAGAAAUGAUUUAAAGUUUAGGUAAAUAAUUUAAUGAAAAAUAGACAUGAUUAGUGGCGGAGCCCCGGUCCGUCUAAAAUAGAAUAUUUUCCAUUUAAGUCUUUUAUAACUUAUAAAAUUUUAAAUUAGUAAUGGUAAAAUUGCACUUUCCUCCCCAAAAAUUGAUAAAAAAUUGAUUUAACCUUUUAAAAAUUAUAAAGAUAUAAAUUAUUAAAAUGGUAAAAUUGUAUUUUCAUUAUCGUAAAAAUAUAUAAUUUAAUUCCGUCCCAAAAAAUUUUCUAACUUCGCCCUGGAUAUCAUUAUCUCAAUAGAAAAGCUAAAAAUAUUGAGUAUACAAUAAUUAGGUCGAACAAUUUUUGUUGGGAAUAUAUGUUAAAUAUUAAAAUAUAGAUUAGCUAUUAAAUGUAAAAUGGCAAAAGAAUAAAUUAUAAAGUGUACACAAGGUUGAUUUCGUAAAACUAAAAAUUACCAAUUUUUCACAUCUUUGUCAACUAUUAUACACUUGAGAUGGCAACAGCCUUUUCUACUUUAAUCGGUGAUUAAUGGUUCGAUCAUUGUCCUAAGUAUGGAGUAACUUUAAAACUCGUGAGUAGCAUCCACCCUGUUAAUGGGCCUAUAGAAUGUGGAGGGUUAGUUACUGGGCUCGCUCUAAUAGAUACAUUGAGAAAUUAAAAAAAUGGAAUAAAAAAUGUUUGUAAAUUUGACAUUUGAAGUUGUUUAAAGUUAUAAAUUAAAUUGGUAAUAUAUAAGAGAUAUUUUUAUUUGUGUUUAUAGAGAAUUGAAGAAAUAAAAUUUUAAUAUUAACCAUAAAUUAGCAAAUAAUAUCUUCAAAAUUUAAAGUUAUAAAAGUGGAAUAAUAUCAAACAUGCAAUCAAUUACAUUAUUUUAUUUUUGAAUUUUUAUUAAUAAUAGUAAACAUUAUAUUUAAAAAUCAAUAUUACAUAUUGAGAAUUAAUUAUUAUGAACACUUUAUUGUGGGGUUUUUUUUUACAUUAAUAAUAUAAAAUAAAUAAAUAAAUACUAGAAUAGGAUAAAGGGAAUAAUUUUUACAAGAAUAGGUAAAUGAAAUAGUGAAAUAUCGGUGUCGUCUGACCAAUCGGCGGCACCACUUUAUUAAAAUUUUAUUCAAGUGCAACCUAACCAAUCGGCGACACCAGACUAAAAUAUGAUGAUCUAAAAGGAUAAAUUGCACCCUAAAUCCCCCUUAUUUAUUAUUAUUUAUUAUUUUUCUUUAACACCAAAAAAUAGAUUGGCCUUUUAUAAAUUAGUCUAAAAUUUUUUUUUUUACCAAAAAGUAUUUUUGUAAGUAAACCGUUUCCAUUUGGAAAUAAAUUUUAUUUAUUUUUAAAAAAUAUUUAUAAUUUUAUUAUCCAUUUGAUUUACGUACACAGUAUAAAAUUAUAAUUAUAAAAGCUUUAGAAAAAUCUUAUUAUGUAUAAAUUAUAAUUAUUAGUUAAAUUUAUAGUUUCCAAAUAUAAUGAGGGAAAAAGAAAACUACUAUAAAUACAGUUAAUUGUAAUGUCAAACAUAAUGUGAUUUUUUUAAAAAAAUAAAUAAAAUUUAUUUCGAGUUGGAAUCGACUUACUUGAAAAAAAAUACUUUUUGGUAAAAAAAAUUUAGACUAAAUGAUAAGAGGCCAAUUUAUUUUUGGUGUUAAAAGAGAAUAAAAUUUAAUAAUAAAUAGGGGGUUUAGGGUGCAAUUUACCCUUUUAAAAUUUGAUGCUAUCAUACUGUCAGGUAGCACCCAUGAAGAUUUUUCGACUGUCAAUUAAAACGAAAAAUUUCCAUAUAAGGUCCCUGAAAUUUUUAGAUCAUCACAUUUUAGCCUGGUGCGGCCGAGUGCUCAAGCUGCACCCGAAUUUUUUUUAAAUAAAGUGAUGUCGUCGAUUGGUUAGGCGGCACCGGUAUUUCACUAUUUCAUUUGACUAUUCUCAUAAAUAUUAAUCUAUUUAUCCUAUCCUGUAUUUAUUUAUUUAUUUUAUAUUAUUAACGUAAAAAAUCCUUUAUUGUGACUUGCGGAAACGUGGAUUGAAAACCAAACAGGGUUUUUUUUUUUUAGUUUUUCUUGAAUUAAAAUGCAACCAAUAAGAAUAAUUGAUAUUUUAAUUUAAUAAAAAUAAAAUUAAUUAAUGUUUGAGUAUUUAAUUUUAAAAAUGAUCAAGAUGUAAUUACAACAAUUAAUUUUAAAUGUUAUUAAAGAUAUCUAUAUAUGUCAAUUUUUUAUAAUUAUUAAUGACAUACAUAUAAAUUAAUUAAUAGCGUGUCUCUCAAAGAUGAUAUUGACAGUGGUAGAGUCAGAAAAUAUUUUUGAGAGAUCAGAAUUAAUGUAAAAAUAUACCAUUUAAUUAAUUUAAUAGUUUUUAUAAUAUUUAAAUGAUUAAAUUAAAAUUGUUAUCAUUUUAAAGAAGAACAAAGUAUAAUUUAACUUUUAUUAAUUUAAAAUGUUAUAAAUUAUAAAUAUUAUACAUGAAAAUUUUUUCAUUUUAGGGACAGGAUACUGUCAGCCCCUAUGACAAAACUAUGUAAGCCUUGAAAACAUCCUUCAUUAUUGUAUGUCUUUUUCUACUUUGGCAGUGGUGUGCUUUUGUUGAUUCUAGCCUUGAAAACUCUUGUGACCUUCUCUCUUGCUUUUGUUGGUAAAAGCGAAUAUUUUCCCAUUAAAAUAUGUUUUGGUAUACGACAUUUUAUGGUAGUUGGCUACUAUUACUCAGCUGUUUCCACGUGACUUCCUUUCUUUUAAAGUAAGAUGAAGUCAUCUUUCUCAAAUCACUACUUUCUGGGUUUGCUCUGUUAAGAAAAAGAAAAAAAUACAGAAGGGGGAAAUUUAUCAGUUAUUGAUCAUAGCCAAAAGGUACGCCAUCUGCUUUGCUCUUACUCUUUUGAAAUACUUGUCGGCAUAAACAAGCUUAGGCAGGCAGUUUAAGCCAUGAAAAUGGACUUCUUUUAUGCUUUAAAUCUUUUUAGCUUUAAGAUUUUGAGUCCUGUACUUUUUCGAUUUUAAAAUCUUCAUCUUUCCAUUCAAAUUUACACUUAGUGUUGUUGACCUGACAAAUAUAAAAAGAUCAAAUAAAUUUCUUAGCCUUAAUUUGAUCUUUACUUUUUAAAAUUACAUAAAAAUUCAGAAUUAAAAAGAAAACAUAUUUUCAGUAAAAAUCCAUUAAAAAAAUUGUGGAAAACACUCUAAAGAGUUCGUAGAAAAAAGGGAUAAGAAGGGGUGACUAUUAGGAAUGCUGCGUAAGCACUUUUGUUUGUGAUCUAUCAACAACUUGUGCCUUCCACAUACUGCAAUAUGGUUAUUAAGAGGUUGAGUACUGCUUUAUCUUGUAGACGAAGGAUUUGUACUAGAACUGAUUAUAGGUUGGGUCAAUGUAAAAAUUUUAAAUUUGUUUUUUGGGUCCGGACUCGGCUCAACUAAACAAAUGGGCCUAAAAUUUUUAUUUAAGUUCAACUCAGAUAAAAAAUACUAAAUCUGAACCCGUAUUAAAUUUUUUAUAUUUUUUAUAUAAAAACAAAUUUAAAAAAUAUAAUACAUCAAAUACUCUAAACACAUUAAAAUAAAUGUUUCUCAACAAAUUAAAAAUAUAUUUAAAAAAUUCUUUAUAUUUAAAUAACAUUAACAUAGUUAUAAAUUAGCAAACAAACGUUUCUAAAAUAAUAGUAAAAUUAAAAAUAAAAUAAGAGUUACACAAUAUCUAAAUAAUAGUAGCAAAAUAUUAGUAAUAUAAUAGUGAAACAGUAGCAAAAUAACAACAUAACAACAAAAAACAACAACAUAAAAGCCGUAAACAGCAGCAAAAAAAUAAUUAAAUUCAGGUUAGGUCCAAACUAAAAAAAUCUUGUCUGAGGCUCGGCCCAUUUAAAACGCGAAUCUUUUUUUUUUUGAAGCUUAUUUUUUGGGUUUAUAUUAUGACCUAAACUCUUUAUGUUUUGAAUGGACUUUGUAAUUCGACUCAUGAACAAAGUCUACUUUAUAAUGAACGCUAUAUAUGGUUGGAAAGAUGGUUUGAUAGGGUACUAAAAUUAAAUGAAAAAUCAUUUAAAAAACAAAUUAAAUAUUCAAACAUUAAAUAUAUAUUUUAUAUAUAAUUGGUUUGAACUAAAUUAACAAAAUACUUUGAUAGUUUUCAGAAAAUUCCUGUUGCUAGCGGUUAAUAUCUUUGAUUUCAAUUAAAAAAAAUUACCAAAAUACUUUUUUGAAUAUGAUAUAGUGCAAGUUGCACAAGUAGUUUAAAAUUUGAAGAUAUUAUUACUAUUUAAGGAGUAAAUAUAUUUUUUAAAUUGAAACAUUUAAUAUACUUUAUUAUUUUCUAUUUUUUUUAAAAUUAACUAAAUUAAAAAAUGUGCAACAAAUUAAAUAGUUAGAAGUUUUAAAUUUAAAUCAAAAUUGAAAUUUAUGAUCUACAUGAAUAUACCAUAUAAUAUAAUGAUUGUAUCAUUAAAAUAUUAAUAAUAUAAAUAAUUACGGAAGUGUGUAAAAUUACUUUAAUUUUUUACAUUGCGUAAGUAGAUCAUUCCCCUUAAUAUUAAUAAAUUUUCAUAAAGUAAAAUUACUUUACUUUAAUUGUCAUAAAGUAAAACAUUAAUCUCAUAUUUAUAUUUAUAUUUUUAAGAUUAUGCAAAUGAGUUCUUUUUAAAAAAAUAUAUAAGAUAAUUCAAGUUUUGGUCUUUGUUGUCGCUGUGGUUUUUCAGUUUGCUCUCUCGAUGGAGAUUGUUAUUGCCAUCGUUGGCUCUAUUGUAGCGAAAGCUGUAGAGUAUACGAUCUCUCCUAUCAAAAACCAUGUCAAAUACCUUUCCAAUCAUCAGAAAAAUGUUGAGACCCUCAAGAACCGAGCUAAUAGGCUGAAAGAUGCAAGGGACGGAGUGCAGCAUUCUGUUGAUGAAGCUAAACAAAACGAAAAAUAUAUAAGAUAAUUUUAACUCUUCAAUGGUAGUUAUGAUUAUGCAAAUGAGUUCUUUUUAAAAAAUAUAUAAGAUAAUUCAAGUUUUGGUCUUUGUUGUCGCUGUGGUUAUUCAGUUUGCUCUCUUACUUGUUUGUUUACAGACGCUCUACUUUUUACUCAUUUUUACUUGUAAUUUUUUCUUCUGGUUUUGUUUUGAUUUCUGUUGCGGCUGUGGUUUUUCAGUUUACUUGCUGUUUGCUCUCUCAAUGGAGUCCGUUAUUGGCAUCGUUAGCUCUAUUUUCACUAAAGCUGCAGAGUAUGCGAUUUCUCCUAUCAUAAACCAUGUCAAAUACCUUUCCAAUCAUCAGCAAAAUGUUGAGAUCCUCAAGGACCAAGCUAAGAAGCUGAAAGAUGAAAGGGACAGAGUGCAGCAUUCUGUUGAUGCAGCUCAACGAAACGGAGAAGAGAUCGAACGUGAUGUUAACAACUGGAUGUCGGCAGUGGACAGGAAGAUCCCUGAACAAGUAGAGAAAGUGAUGCAAGAUGAAGAAAAAGCAAAGAAAAAGUGUUUCAUUGGUUUGUGUCCUAAUUUUUGGACUCGUUACAAGCAUAGCCUGAAAGCUGCAGCGGAGGCGAAGGCUGUUGCCAAGCUACUUGAACAGGGCAAGUUUGGCCGUGUUUCUUAUCUUGUACCUUUACAGAGUAUCACUGUCCCACCCGGUAAAGGUUACGAGGAAUUCGAGUCAAGAACGUUGAUUUUGAACGGAAUAAUGGAGGCACUAGAAGAUGAUAGCGUCAGCGUUGUUGGGGUGCAUGGUACGGGUGGGAUUGGAAAAACAACGCUGGUCAAAGAAAUCGCUAGAAAGGUCAAGGGCGAGUUGUUUGAUUCAGUGGUCAUAGCAACUGUAACUCAAGCCAUCGAUAUUAAGAGGAUUCAGAACGACAUUGCAGACUUAUUGGGCUUGAAAUUUGAGGAACAGAGUACGGUUGGAAAGGCAAUUCGACUACGAGAAAGAUUGAAGCAAGAGAAGAGUAUUCUGGUUGUCUUGGAUGACAUUUGGGAAAAGGUUGAUAUUGAGGAAGUAGGGAUUCCUUUGGGAGAUGAACACAAGGGCUGCAAGUUACUAUUAACUUCUAGAGAGCUCAAUGCUUUAUCAAAUGGGAUGGAUGCUCAGAAAAAUUUUCCCAUUGGUUUUUUAAAUGAAGAGGAAGCCUGGGACCUGUUCAAGAAGAAGGCGGGCAACUUUGAUGAAAGUUGCAAUUUGAAGCCUAUAGCUAUGGAGGUAGCCAAAAAAUGUGCAGGACUGCCGAUAGCCAUUGCGACAGUUGCAGGGGCUUUGAGAAACAAAAGAUUGUUUGAAUGGGAGAACGCUUUACGAGAACUGGAGAGGCCUUCGUCAAGCAACUUCACGGGGAUAGCUGCUGCGGCAUAUUCAGCCAUACAGUUGAGUUUUAAUUAUUUAGAAAGCGAGGAAGUUAAGCGGACUUUCUUGCUUUGCAGUGUAAUAGGCCAUAAUGGUUUCGUUGAGGACUUGGUGAGAUAUACUCUAGGUUUGGGUUUAUUUGAUGGCGUCUACACUGUGAAAGAAGCUAGAAAUAAAGUAUUGACGGUUGUGGCUAAUCUCAAAGCAUCCGCCUUGUUGCUUGAUAGUUAUAAUGAUAAGCGCUUUGAUAUCCAUGAUGUUGUUUGGGAUGCUGCUAUAGCUAUUGCAUUGAAGGACUACCGUAUGCUUGUUUUGAGAGAUCAUGCUCCAAAGGAGUGGUCCGAUAAGGAGAAAAUGAAGACGUGGAGUGUGAUCAGCUUACGUUAUCCUCAGAAUAUAGCUAACCUUCCUAAGGAGAUGGAGUGUUCAGGACUUUCCUUUUUCCAUAUGGCCUAUGAUGGCGUGGUUAAAAUUCCUCUCAAUUUCUUCAAACAAACCGAAGGCCUCAAAGCCUUAGAUUUGGUCGGAAUGCAGUUUCCAUCCCUCCCUGAAUCAAUUAUUCACCUUGCAGACCUUCGCAUGUUGUGUCUACAAGAAUGUGCAGUUGAUGACAUAACCAUCCUUGGAGAGCUCAAGAGUUUACAAGUACUCAACCUUUCUGUGUCAGGUAUGAAAGAACUACCUAAGGAGAUGGCACAAUUGACUCAAUUAAGGUUGUUAGAUUUGCGUGGGUGUAGAGAACUCAAAAUCAUCCCACCGAAUGUCUUAUCAGGUUUGUCUAAAUUAGAAGAAUUAUAUAUGAGUGGGAGCUUUGUUGAAUGGGAAAAGGGAGGAAUAGUUGAAAAUGAGAGGAAAAAUGCAAGCCUUGAUGAAUUAAACAAUCUGCCUUGUCUAACUACUUUAUAUGUUCAUAUUCUUGAUGUCCAAAUGAUACCAAAACACCGGUUUGUUGAAACAUUGGACAGAUUCAGGAUUUUCGUAGGUAAUUAUGGAAUAUAUGAUUGUUGCCAUAAUUAUGAAUCUCCGAAAGCAUUGAAACUCAUGUUAUAUACAAACAUUGAUUUCGACAAUGGGAUGAAAAAGUUGUUGAUAAAGACAGAAGAUUUGUGCCUAGAGGGACUUGAAGGCGUCAAGAAUGUACUUGUGGAGUUAAAUAAUGGGAAAGAUCUUCCAAAUUUAAAGAGACUUCAUGUCAAAAAUGGUAGACAUGUCCAAUAUAUUAAAACGAACAAAAUUGGAUUUUCUGAAUUAUGCUUCAUCAAAGUUGAAAAUCUACCGCAACUCGUUAGCUUUUGCCCUCCAGACGAAAGGUGUUCCACUAAGCCCUUACUAUUUUUCAAUAAAUAGGUAUUUGUUUGGCUUUACUUAUAUUUCCUUAUACAACUUUUAUUUAUAUGCCCAUUAAUACUUCUAAUAAUAGAAAUACAUAAUAUUGUGUAAAGGUUUUUCCGGAGCUCAAAAAUAAAUUUCAAAUCCAAAACAAAUGAAAAUUUAAUUUUUAAUUCAAACCGAUUGAAAGUACAAAGUCAAUUCAAUAAUCUAAAUUUAAACCCAGCAAAUUUUUUUUUAAUUCUGAAAAUGAAAUUUGAGCCCACAAAUCGAACUAAAAUUAUCUUUAAAAUCGAAAAUCAUAUUUUCAAAUUAUGUUACAUACUAUCUUUCCCUAUCGAAAAAGAAUUGUGUGUAAAUAUGUGCAAUUUAUUUUCCCUCACUUGGAAAGCUUGUUAUUGUGUUCCAUUAACACCAAAAUAAUAUGGCACAACCAGACAUGUCAUUGGGUUACGAAUUUGAGGAGCUUGAUCAUCAAAGGAUGCGGCAAGUUGGAGCAUCUGUUAUCACCCUCUCUCGCUAGAAGUCUGGUGCAGCUCCAAUGCUUUGAGAUAGAGGAUUGCGAUUGCUUAAGGGACAUAAUACUUACCGAGGAAAUUGAAGAAGAAAGGAAAGAUGUGAUUUGUUUCCCUCGAUUAAACUCCCUGCAUAUAGAUGGUCUUCCAAACCUCAUCUUCUUCAACUCUGGAAACCACAAUAUUGAGUUCCCAUUGUUGAAAGAGCUAAGGAUUUCGCGUUGCCCCAAGUUAAUAGAAUUCAUUAGUCAGAAUAGUAAUCAGUCCGGCAUGCACGCUCUCUUCAGUGAGAAGGUGAUUUGUUUCAGUAGUCUUACACUCUUGCAUAAAUCCGUUGAUUUGUCCUUGUUUUUUUUUCUGCCUUCAUUAUUUGAGCUAACCUUAUUAUGGGCAUGGAUUAUAUAUAUAUAUAUAUGAAUAGGUUGCAGUUCCUAGCUUGGAAGACAUGAAUAUCUCGGACUUGAGUAAUGUGAAGACGAUAUUUUAUAAUGACCUAGCACCAGGUUCCUUUAAAAAUCUACGAAAAAUAAGUGUUGAGGGAUGUGGGAGUUUGAAAAAUCUAUUUCCAGUAUCAAUAGCCAAAGAUCUUCCACAACUUGAACACUUAAGCAUCACUGAUUGUGGAGUUGAGGAGAUUGUAUCGAAAGGGGAUGGAGUGGAGGAGCAGCCAGCGAGGUUUGAGUUUCCGCAAGUAUCUUACCUUGAGGUUAGUGGGGUAGAAAAGCUCAAAUGUUUCUAUGAAGGGCAACAUACAAUAGUCUGGCCGAUGUUGAAAAAAUUGACAACAGAUGGUUCUGCUUUGCUAAAGAUAGUGGCAUCGGAACAUCUUAGAUUAAUCCAAGGAAAUGAGCAUCCAGUUUUGUUGGGUGAAGAGGUGUGUAUAUCAUUACAACUAUAUUUCUUUUAUGAUUUAAUAUUGAUUUUGUUGGGAUUUAAUCAUCAAAAUCAAACUCUAAAAUUGUACAUCUUUUGUUUGUUUGUUUGUUUGUUUUUUUAAAGCAUAUACAUCAACAUUGAGCCUAACUUGUAUAUAUUUAAUUGGUUUCCAAGGUCAUUCCCAAAUUAGAGGAACUUGAGUUACAAGAUUUUGAUGAUAUGGACCAAUUUCCACCAGACUUGUUUCAACAUAUUAAAGUUUUUGCAGUGAGUGGUGGCUCUCCAUCUUCUUUAUUUCCUUUCGUCCGAAAAUUCUACAAUCUGGAAAGACUUGAGUUGUCUUAUUUUGAUUUCAAACAUUUAGUCCGUUGUAAAGGAGAUGCCGGGUCUCUCCCACCAAUUAGAAAUCUGAAAUUGUUUUCUGCCAGAAAUCUUGAGCAUAUUUGGAGGAAAGAUUCGGAGCUUGACCAUAUUCUUUCUAAUCUUCAAACACUCACAGUUGUGGAUUGUGAUGAUUGGAUAAAUAUUAGAGUCUCCUCAUCAUCUUUACAAAAUCUCACAACUUUGAAUGUGUUUUGUUGCGAAAUGAUGGCAAACUUAGUUACACCCUCAGUACUUAAGAAUCUUGUGCAAUUAACGACAAUAAAGGUAGAACACUGCACUAAAAUGACAGAAAUAGUGGGAAACGAGGGAGACUGUCAUCAGACAAUAGUUUUGAGUAAAUUGGAAUGUUUACAACUAUGCAAUUUACAGAGCCUCACAAGCUUUUGUCCAGGGUAUUGCAACUUCGAGUUUCCUUGUUUGGAAGAAUUAGUUGUGGAAGGUUGUCCUUGGUUAAAGAUCUUUUCUGAGGGAGUUUUAAGCACCCCACAAUUACAGAGAAUAAAACAGUCGCGUUACGGUGAGCAAUGGAGUUGGACAAGUGACCUGAAUACCACCAUACAACAGCUCUACACAGAAAAGGUACAAAGUUAAUAAGUUCAUAAUGCUAGCUAGAUUCCUCGUGUCCUAAUACAAUUAAUUUUAUUACUACUUCAAUAACCAUUGAAGAGUGUUAAUCGUUAUUUUGUUAUUGUCUGCAUUUUCUAUUUAUGAUUGCUAUCUAGUGGAAUAAUAUCAGAUUAAUUUUUAGGAUGGACNNNNNNNNNNNNNNNNNNNNNNNNNNNNNNNNNNNNNNNNNNNNNNNNNNNNNNNNNNNNNNNNNNNNNNNNNNNNNNNNNNNNNNNNNNNNNNNNNNNNCUCUGACACAUUUCCGGAGUCGAUAGAAACAUGGACUAGAAACCCUCAAGAAAUUUUGGGCUUCAAAAAACUUAGCAGCCUGCAGUUUUAUAAAUGUAGCAGCUUGAAGUACAUAUUUACUCCGUCUAUGCUUUUGAGCCUCAAUCAACUAGAAUCGCUAGAAGUAAAAGAAUGCAGUUCAAUGAAACAAGUGGUUAGGGAGGAGGAGGAAGCAAUGACACAUAAAUUUACAUUUCUUUCGCUACUCUCCGUAACAAUUGAGUCGUGUUCCAACUUGACAAAUUUCCAUUUGGGAAGUCAAGCUCUUGAAUUUCCAGAGCUGUGGAAAAUCAGGAUAGCUGAGUGUCCAAAAAUGACUGCAUUUUCUUCCUCAGUUUCAAGAGAGAGUGGUGAUGCAAGUGAAAACGUGGUUGGCGAAGGGGGCAUCUAUGAUAACACUGCAACUCUUUUCAGCAAUAAGGUAAGUUUGGUAUUCAAUAUUUAUCUGCACAACUUAUUUCACAUUUUCUUUUGAUUUGAUCAACAUGAGUGUGUCUGGUCUAUAUAUACACACUAGUGCUACCCCUUGUCAAAAUUGAAUAUAAUAAAAUCCAUAAAAAUAUUAAUAAAUAAGAUAAUAUUUAAAAGAAAAACUGGAGUUUAAAAGUAUAAAUAAAUAUAUAAAAUAAGAAUNNNNNNNNNNNNNNNNNNNNNNNNNNNNNNNNNNNNNNNNNNNNNNNNNNNNNNNNNNNNNNNNNNNNNNNNNNNNNNNNNNNNNNNNNNNNNNNNNNNNNNNNNNNNNNNNNNNNNNNNNNNNNNNNNNNNNNNNNNNNNNNNNNNNNNNNNNNNNNNNNNNNNNNNNNNNNNNNNNNNNNNNNNNNNNNNNNNNNNNNNNNNNNNNNNNNNNNNNNNNNNNNNNNNNNNNNNNNNNNNNNNNNNNNNNNNNNNNNNNNNNNNNNNNNNNNNNNNNNNNGAUGGGUUCUUUUUAAAGAUUUAAUGCUUUUUUUUUUAAUUUCAUAUAUAGAAAAAAUCAUUGAAAGAAAAAAAAGUUCAAUAUAAUUAUUUAAAUUUACUUGUCGGGUUUUUAUAAAAGUAACUCAAAUUUUACGGUUGUUGAUCCUCUGAUUUUACGGUUGACUGUCUUGCUUAUACGUUGCAAGGUUGGCGGGUCUCAAGUAUGAAUUUCCAAGCCGGCUUUCAUCCAUAAUUAACUAAGUGUUCCAAUCCAUGGAGUUGAUGGUUUAUUAGUGUAACUGUCCAUUUGGUUAUGGAUUGGUUCUUAAGGUGUUUUGAUGCUUUGCUCCAAGCAACACCCUUUAAUUUCUAAUGAAUUUUAUUUGUUGAGGAAAAAAAAAAGAGGAUUAAUCUGAUAUUUUAUGUUUGGGUUUAUAAAGAUUUUUGUACCUUUAAUGAAAGAAAGCAAAUAAAAUAGAGACGUACAAGAUCACAUCCAUAGAUCAACAAAAGGGUUUAAUAUUUCUAUAAAAAAUUGUCCCAAAAAGGCCUUCUAACGGGAAUUGAUCAUAUAAACUAAUGAAGGCCAUUGAAAAUAAAGCUUGUAAAAAUUUACAGAAGGAAUUGAUGAGAAUCUGAUACACUAAUCAAUUUGUUGCGAUAAGAGUUUAUGGUUGUAGGAGCCUCUCCCCAAAUCGCUAGCAAAAGAAACAAAAGGAUUAAUGCACUUCGAUAAUGGCAGAUUUAUAUUUGUUACGAAAGGUGAAGAGCCCAAGACCCUCCAACCUCCUCGGAACAGUUUGAAAUCGUUCCAAAAUAUGCUCUAGCAAACGUUCCAAGCCAUCUCAUGCGACAGCUUUCCAUUAAAAGGUAGUUUUCUCAUUCGUGGCUUGAGUCUAAUCUUAAUUUUUAUUUGUAUCUUUUAUAUCCGUUUUAUAAUUCAUAUUUGGGAUUAGUAUUGUGUACAUAAUAUUUCAUUAUUUGUUGUCUAUGUUGCUCAUUGUUGCAAAAAUAAAUAAAUAAACACAAUGCAUGCAUAAACCAUUAAAAAAAAAAACAUAAGCCACUAAUAAUGAAAUAUAUUAAAAUGAAGAAUGAUAAUUGAUUUCAGAAUUACCCUAAUUUCGGUAAAUAUAUUAAAACAUGUGUCUCUAAUCUUUUUCAAAUUUGAUAUUGAAAAAAUUGGUAUUUCUAAAAAUAUUAAAGUUAUUCAAUUAUUUUUAUUUUUGAAAGUGAUAAAUUAAGGAUAAUUAAUCACAACAUUAAUGUUUUUCAUCAAUUAUACAUAAUGUUCUUGAUAUAAUGAUAAAUUUAGUCCUCAAAGUUUACACGUUCUAUCAAUUUGCUAUUGAUUUAACAAAUUUAACCCACAACAUUUACACAUUUCGUCAAUUUGAUCAUGAUUUAACAUAUUUAACCUGUAAUAAUUACACAUUCUAUCAACAUUUACGCAAAAUAUAUAAUCAUCAAGGAUUAAAUUUGUUUUUUAUACUAAUCAAAAUAAUUACACAUUCUAUCAACAUUUACGCAAAAUAUAUAAUCAUCAAUGAUUAAAUUUAUUUUUAUACUAAUCAAAAUUAUGUAUAAUUAACAGAAACUAUUAGCGCUUGAUUAAUUGUUCGUGGUUACUUUCAAAAAAGAUAAGGAUUAAUUUGUUCAAUAUCAAAAAGAUGUUUUUUUUUGUUUUUUUUUUAAUUUCAUAGGUAAGAAAAUCUCAAAAAAGAAAAUCUUUGAAAUAAAAAAUAGUAUGUUUUAUAUAAUUAUUUGAAGUUACUCUCACAUUAUUUUUACCCAUUCAAAGCUAGCAAGUCUUUUAUGUACAAUGGUAUAUUUCUGCAAUUUGGAAUAACAUUUUGGUCACCUCCAUGUGAAAUGAAAGAAAAUUGACAAUGUCACACAAUUAUUAUUUUUCCCUCCAUGCCCCUAUGCCACCAAAGAAAGUUGAAUUAUUAAGGCACAAAAGUACUAAGGAGUAGAAGCUAGAAAAAAAGGGGCUGAUGCAGCCGUUGAAAGCACCAAAAAUAUCCUAUCCCCAAUAAAUAAUGAAAAAGAAUAGUAAAAGGGAAGUAGGGUCAAAUCCUUAGGGACUGGAUGUGCACAAUAUCUUGUUCCAUGAAAUCUCAGGCAGAAUCUUGUCCAAGAAAACUUGCGUUCUUGAAAAAAAUAAGAAACUAACAGAAUUAAAGGUUUGGAUCUGGAAACGAAAAAUAAAAUAAAAACAGAAUUAAGAAUAUUGUAUCGAAAAUUUGAGAAAUUAAAAAUAGAGUUGAAAGAAAGAAAAUUCUUAUGGGAGAUUCCAGCCUCCAGUUGUCUCGUUCCGCCCUGGGUUCAAUCCUCGGCUUUUAGAUAAUCCUUCCCAAACAGAAUAAGCCAGUUAUAGUGGAAGAGGACGCCUACGACCACCAGCUCCAAGGAUUUAGACUUACGAUUUGGUGGAACCCGACUCUAGCCAACAAUCGCUUCUGUGGGAUCAUCUUAUGCUAGAUCAACGCUUCUCAAUGGCGAAUCCCACGCCAUUUUGUCUCUUGGGCUCGCCAACCUCUGACGCAGUAAGCUAACGAACCGACUGUGCAACCUUCCCAAAACAUACAAAGCGGCCGCCUUUGCAUACGUUGAAAAGCUUACUUCUUAAGGGACAUGGACGAAAGCGUCAGCCCCGUAGUGCGGAGAAACGAUGAACACUCGUUAAGAAGGCUAAGUACAGAUUCUAAGCCUUAUGAACCCUUUUGGGGAUUUUCGACAACAUUUGGCUAGAUGGGUUUAGUGGCUCAUGGUUGUGGUAGAAAAGAAAAUAAAUAAAAUAAAAUUGGAGAUUUUAUUGAAAGGAAAUAUAAGAAGAAUAAAAGCCUAGACUUUUAGGGAGAGAGUGUUUACAGAAAAAGAUGGGAUUCAUCUCUUUUGAGUCACUUCAACCCCUAUUUAUAGUGCUAGGGGAGAUAGUCUAAUCCUACUUAAAUUCCUAAAAGAUAAAUACAUUUAAUUGAAGAUAAAUAAAGAUAAAUAAAAUAAGAUCCUAAAAAGAAUCCUUAAUAAUUAUCUCAAAUAUUAAUUAUCCUAAUAUAAUUAAAAUAGAGUUUAAUAGAAUAAAAUCUCUUCUUUUUGCAUUUCAACUCUUGUGUCCUCCAUGCUUGCACUUUUGGCACCAACUUUUCCUUGUGUUGCACAUUGGCCCAUUUUAUCUCUAAAUUAACGUUUUUGGCCCUUAAUUUUGCUUUUGCCUCAAAUUUAGACCCUAUGAGACAAAAUAUAAUAAAUAGCUCAAAUUAGUAGUACCAUACUCAGAAUAAAUACAUAAUUAAUACAUAAAAUACGUAUUCUAGAGUGUUAUCAAAUUCCCCCUACUUAGCCCAUACUUGCCCUCAAGUAUGGUUCCUAUCUAAUGUGAAAGUUAGAUUCUGCCAUAAAAGAAAUACCACUCCAAAGUUUUAUAAAAAUCAAUCAAAAAUGCAUAUGAAAAAUAAAGAAAACCCUAAGCUUGCUUUAAGUAAAACUGAAAAAGUUUUUCAAUUAAUACACACAAAAAUUAGAAUCGACUUGAAUUAUUUAAUGAAAAUUAGGUAAAUUACCAAACCUACCAAGACACCCUAUUUGUUUCCUCCUUUAGUCCCCAAAUUAUAUUUUUUUUUUCUUUUUAUUAUUAUUAUGCUUUAGGAAUACACUGAACCUUUUGACGCGAAGAGAGAUGACAGCCAAGCACCCCACCCCGGUUACUCAACCCAGCAGACUCCUAAUUUAUUAUAAUUUUUUCUUAAAAACACAUCGAACCUUUUGACGCGAAUAGAGAUGACAACCAAGCACCCUACCCCGGUUACUCUCGGUUAACGGAGUUUUACCUAACACGUCACACAACCUUUUGAUGCGAAAUAGGAUGACAACCCAAGCACCCUACCCCGGUUACUCAGUCAGUCACGUUUUUAAGCUGCACUCAUAACCACGGAAACAUUAAACGACAUUUUAAUAAUAAAUUUUUUUAUGAGGACUUUAGAGAAAAAAAUAGGGGAAAUUACCAAUAAAAGCCGUUUUUUUUUCAAAAUUUACCAAAAUGGGCCGAUUUUUUUAUUAUUUACCGGAAUGGGCCAUUUUCCGCGAAAUCGCAUCCACGUCAGCGCGAUGUCAGGGUACGUGUCAGGACAUCGCGUCCACGUCAGCGCGAUUUGCUUACGUUGACACAAAUCGCGCCUACGAGGACGCGAUUUACUGAUGUGGAUGAACAGUUUAUGUUUUUAAGCUUGGAAAAUUUUGAAAGGCCAUAACUUUUCGCUCGGUUGUCCGAUUGAGACGAAUUUUUUUUAUUUUGAAUAACUUUUUGAGUGUACGCGCUGACAAACAGCCGAAAGCGGUUUACCAUAGUUUUCGUCGAAAAAGAUCCUUUUUUGCCCCUAAAUUUCAAUUUUUUCGGUUUAAAAUUAAAUUUUGAAACAUUCAAAUCAUUAUUUUCCUUAUUUAUUUGAAGUAAACACCGGAUUUUUUUUACAGAAUUGUUGUAUUAUUUUUUCUGAUUUGACACGUGUAUGGAAUAGGUCCGAUAAAUCGUUAGAACGUAAGUAAUAUAAUUAAGAUAAUAAUAGUAUUUCUAUAAUAUUUCAAUUAAUUAGAUUAGCUUAGUUGGUUAAGAUGCUUGCUCUUUUCCCUUGGUACCUUGGUUCAAAUCUUGUUGGUAACAAUUUUGAAUCUUUUUUGUACUUUUUGCUAUUGAUUUGUCUCAAUCGGACAACCGAGCCAAAAGUUAUGGCCUUUCAAAGUUUUCCAAGCUUAAAAACAUAAACUGUUCAUCCACGUCAGCAAAUCGCGUCCUCGUAGGCGCGAUUUGUGUCCACGCAAGCAAAUCGUGUAGACGUGGACGCGAUUCCUGACACGUACCCUGACAUCGCGCUGACAUGGACGCGAUUUCGCGAAAAAUGGCCCAUUCCGGUAAAUAAUCAAAAAAUCGGCCCAUUUCGGUGAAUUUUGAAAAAAAAAGGGUUUUAUUGGUAAUUUCCCCGAAAAAAUAAUAAUAAUCAAGUGUCAAAAAUAAGUUUCAAUAAUUACCUUAAUAGUCAUCAACAUAUUUAGCAUGCAAACAUAUUAAGUGUCCACUUUGUAUUAAACUUGAUCAAUUUUAUGAAAAGCAAGAUAAAGUUAACUCUAUGAAUCACAAUUAUUUUUAGCCUAAUAAGAAUAAAACAGUGGAGAUGGCAUCAAUUAUGAAAAUCCGUAAUUUCCUCAGAAAACAAGAAUCAUGCUUGUGGGUCAAACAGUAGGCAAUUCUUGGUAAAAAUCUUGGGCAUGAAAAGAGGCAGGAGAUUCUAAAUAAAUAUAGACAAAAUGGAGCCUCAAGCAGCAACACCAGCCAAAAAUAAUCACAGCAACAGCAACAAUAACCAAAAUCACAGCAGAAAAUGAUAGUAAUAACGAAGAGUACCUCCCCCUACUGAAAGCACAUUGUCCUCAAUGUGGACGAAAAGAAAUAAAUAGGCAGAAAAGUUUAGAAAAACUCCCCAUGUUGUUACUGUCGAUCGCAUAUGAUGGCAAUGAGCUCGGUCAGUUGCUGGCCAAAGGUUUCAAGUCAGGCUUCAAUGCGCUCUAAGCGUUGCUCAACGAUUUUCUUUGUAUUUUCGCUCUGUUUAAUCUAAGCAAAAAAAAUAUUAAUAUCCAAAUAAGUAAUAAAUAAUAAAAUAAAAUGAAGUAAUACAUAAAGUAAAGAAAGAAAAAUAAUAAUAAUAAAUAAAAAUAAAAAUUGGGUUGCCUCCCAACAAGCGUUUGUUUAACGUCGUUAGCUCAACGUCGUUAUUGGUUCUAUGGUGGUUCUAAAUGGAUUUUCUUAACCGUGUGGGCUUGAAAAUUCUCAUAAAAUGGCUUCAACCGCUGGCCAUUGACUACAAACCGCUUUCCAGAUUCUUCACUCUCUCUUUCAAUCGCUCCAUGUGUGAACACUUCAAUAACAAUAAAAGGUCCUUGCCAUCGUGAUCGAAGCUUACCUGGGAAUAACUUUAACUCGGAGUUAUAAAGUAAAACUUUUUGUCCUACUGAAAAAUGCUUCUGAGCUAUUUUCUUAUCGUGAAAUAACUUUGUCUUAUCUUUAUAAAUGCGAGCAUUCUCGUAGGCAUCAUUGCGAAUUUCUUAUAACUCUGGUGCCUGUAUAAUAGAAGGUAACAAUUUCGUAUUUGGAGAUAAUAAAGUCAUUAACAAAUUUAAAUUCAUCAAGUUCAAAAUUAUCUCCAUAAAUUGACUCAAAAUUCUCUUCCACUAAAGAGUCAAUUAUGUCAAUACGAUUUACACUCAAGAUUUCACUUGGAUGGCUAAUGGCGUCGUAGACAUUAAACUUUACGAUCUCCCCAUCAAACUCCAUCGAGAGAGUUCCACUUCGAACGUCGAUUUUAGUACUAGUUGUACUAAGGAACGGUCGACCCAGCAGGAGAUCUGAAGAUCCAGGAGUGUUAUCCUCCCCCAUUUUGAUCACAUAAAAAUCUGUAGGGAAAAUAAUCUCGUUAACUUUUACCAGAAUAUCCUCAACGACUCCUUCUGGAUGCACAACAGACUUGUCCGCCAAUUGAAUGAUAACACCUGUUUUUGUCAAAAAACCUGCGUUAAGUGAUUCAUAAAUAGAUUAUGGCAUUACAUUUAUAGAAGCACCUAUAUCACACAUAGCCUUCUUAAUUCUCAGAUGGCCUAUUUUGCAUGGUAUUGAAAACAUGCCCCUAUCCUUGCAUUUUGCUGGCAUUUUCUGCUGUAACACUACGGAUACAUUCUCACCAACAUUCACCCUUUCAUUACCUGUUAAUUUUCGCUUGUUGGUGCAAAGCUCUUUAAGAAAUCUAGCAUACCGCAGUAUUUGCUUGAUGGCGUCCAACAGCGGAAUGUUGAUCUCGACAUUCCUAAAUGUUUCGAGGAGUUCCUUGUCCUCUUUACCUCUUUGACACUGUUGAAUCGUUCUAGAAAUAGAGGUUGAAUUUUAGGCAAUGGAGGCUUCAGUCGGACCUGUUCGUCUUUCUCGGGUUUUUCUUGGGUAAUUUCUUGACAAAGAUUUCUGUCAAGAAUUGGCUUCAGUACCUUUCCGCUUCGUAACGUCACUACAUUUGCAUUUUGUCUAGGGUUUGAUUCUGUUUGUGACGGCAGCUUCCCUUUAGAGGUCAAUUUCUCAAUCGAUGUGGUCAACUCUCUGAUGGACGCCUCGGUUUUCUGUUGGAAAUCCUUCGUCUCUUUUUGGAAAUCAAGAGUUUGCUGUUGAAAAUCAAGAACAUUAGCUGCUAACUUAUUGACCAUGGUUUCUAUAAAAUUACCUGAACCUUGCGGCUUGUACAAGCCCAUUUUGCCCGGCCCAUUACAAACCCAUCGUAAACAAACCCAAUUAACCCAAACAAAAAUAAUUAAACCCAAGCCCAAUUACAACCCAUUAUCCAAACAAAAAUACACCGACCCAACUACCCAAGGCCCAAUUUCCCCAAAAAAGAUCUGCCUAGGGUUUCAGAAACUGAAACCCUAAGCGCCGCAUCUACCCAAUUGCAUCUACCGCCGCCUGCAACCAUGCGCACUUGCCACCAUCACGGUCACAUCGCCACCGGCUCCACUGACACCUGCAAAACAGCAAACCAAACACGCAACAGUGAAGAAAUAAAAAAAUAGAAACAAGUUGUAAGAAAUGGCUAUAAAAAAGCCAUUCAAAACCAUUGUAAAGGCCCCUAUCUUUCACGAUUUGAAGAAAUAAAAGAAAAAAAACAGAUCCGAAAAACCCUUCUUCGGUAUAAGCUCUAUUUUCUCUUUAGUUUUCUUCCUUUCGUUUGCAAUCAAUUUUUUUAUAUUUUUAUUUUUGUUUUAUUUUUAAACAACAUAUAAACAAAAAAAAGCAAAAAAAAUACUGGACAUUGCCCAGAGGGUAAACAAAAAAGGGAGAGGAUUCUGGUUUCUUUUUUGAGAAAGAAGAGAAAAAAUGAGCUUUUUCUAAAAAAACUUUAACUUUUAUACUGUUAACAAAACGACGUCGUUUUGGGCUUGGGCACCAAUAGCCAAAACGACGUCGUUUCGUGCUCGACCCGAUCCAGCCAACCCGCCUGCCCAAGGGGAUCCGCGUGUUUUUGAUGGAAGGGAUAAUUACACGUUUAGCCCUUCCGCUUUUUGAUGCUUUUAAAAUUAGGUUCUUUUAAUCUUUCGAAUUUUGCCUAGAAAUUUUUUUGUGUUUUCAAUUUAAUCCUUACCCGAACUACAUCGUUUUGAAGGAAGGGCAAUUUGCUUUGCUGGUCCCUCCAUGUUUUGUGCGUAUUCAGAGCAGUUCCGCCCUUUUCGUUUAUUUGCGUUUUGAACCCCCGAAUCUUGUUUUAAUGUUUAAUCUAAUCAUUUUGCUAUUUUGUUUGUUUUCCUAACAAAUUUCAUAUUAUUAUUAUUAUUAUUAUUAUUAUUAUUAUUAUUAUUGCUUAUAUAUAUACGUAUAUUUUUUUAUAUUUAAUAUAUAUACUUGUACACAUACUUUUUUUUGUAAUAUAUAUAUAUAUACAUAUAAACAUACCUAUUUUUAUAAUUUAUUUAUACAUGCAUAUAUAUUUAUAAUACACGUACAUAUUUCUAACUUUUAUAUAUAUAUAUAUAUAUAUACACGUCUUUUUACAUAUAUAUUUUUAUUACUUUUUUUUCAUAAUUUUUAUAUAUACUUAUUUACAUAUUUUUUUAUUUAUUUUCAUGAAUACAUACACAUACUUAUAUUUUUUUAUGUAUAUAUUUCCAUAUAAUUUACAUAUACAAACUCAUAUUUUUAUAUAUUUUAUAAUUCAUACAUGUACAUAUUUGUAUACUUUAUAGCUUAAAACUACCUAUAUAUAUCUAUAUGCAUUUUUAUAAAUACAUGUAUAUAAAAACAUACUUUUAUACAUCUUUCAUAAUAUAUAUACGCAUAUGUGUAUGCAUUUGCUUGCUUACAUGUUUAUUUACAAUAAUUUUAAAAUGUAUUCAUAUAUAUGUAUCUUUUUUACAUUUACAUUAUCUUAUUUAUUUCUUUUUGUUUAUUUCUUUAUUUGUAUUCAUAUUAUUUAGAAUGAAUGCUUUAAUAUUAUUGUUUGCAUGUUUGCCAUGGUGUAUUAUAUUAGUUUGUCUUUUUACUUAUUUUAUAGCCUUUGUUUUUAUGUUACUUAUAUUAUCAUCUUUAUCAUUGUUUUACAUCCAUUUUCACUUGGGUUUGCCAAAAAAAUGAAAAAUUUUAAAAUAUAAGUAAUAUUCGGUAUUUUGGAUCUUCGAGAGAAUCGAGCCCUAACGUAUUGGGUUCCGACUUUCUUCGUUGGAUUUAAAUAAUCGAGAUUACUCUUUUAAAAAAUGAUAAAAGACUCAUUAUCGAGAAUUCAAUAUGUUGUGUCCUAACGCAUUGGAUAUGACACGUUGCUUUCCUGAGAUGAGGAUUUUUUCUAAAAAUUAAUAAAUGCAGUAUUUUGUAUUUAGAUUUGAGAAAGGUGUGCCCUAACUUACUGGGUUUCGAUUUUCACAAUAAAUCUAAACACGUGAAUAUUUUCAAACUCAAGUUUUUAACAAUCUCGGGAAUUAAGAAAAGAUCGUGUCCUAACUUACUGGGCAUGAUCCCUUUUCUAAACCCGAGAUAAUUAAACAUCUUUUAAAUAAGUAAAUUUUGACAUUCAUUCGCAUAUCGGGAAUUCGAGACAUUGUGUCCUAACUUACUGGAUAUGAUGCUUUCUUUCUCGAUUAACGUGGAAUGUGCCUCUUUUCCCGAAAUUUUCAACAUUUUAAUACCAGGAUCGUAUUUUUAAAUUUCUUUAAAGUUUUCAGUUUUUCGACACUAAGACAUUAAGUAAUCAACUAGGUACCAAUUUUGGGCGUAUCGAGGGUGCUAAUCGUUCCUCGUGCGUAACCGACUCCCGAACCCGUUUUUCUAAAUUUCGUGGACCAAACUUGUUGUUUUAAUAAAAUCAAACCGUUUAUUAAAAACAACCACUUUUUGAGGUGAUCCAAUCACACCUCAUAAAAAAAGGAUUGGUGGCGACUCCCGUUUCAUUUUUCAAAACCCAAGUCGACCCCGUUUUCAUCCAAAAAAUGGUGUCAACAAGGCUGUUGCAGAAAUCGAUUUUGGUAUGGCUGGUUAUUUUGUGGAUUGGCCCCAUAACUUAAGUUAGGAUGGUCUCUCCACCCUGGGUUGUAGGUAUUAGCGUAGGGGUCGUAUUGUCUUUGUGGUGGCCCAAGAAAAUUUCCCACAGCAUCCAGAUGGGUCAUGGUAUCAUCAUACAAAUUGGGACAUGCAUUAGUUGCAUGAUCAAGUGUAGCACAUAUUCCGCAUAACCGGGUUGUCUUUGCUUUUUCUGCAAUAAAAGAGUUUAUCAUAUUAGUAAGUCUAUCAACUUUAUCCUCUAAGGUUGAAUUACUUAGCUGGUGAACCCUUCUAGGGGGUUUAGUAUUGGCUCGGAACUGCUAAGAAUUUGCAGCCAUUGUGGAGAUCAAGUCUCUCGCUUGUUGGGAAGUCAUGUUGACCAAUGCUCUUCCACUAACGGCGUCUACCAUAUUCAUCUCCAUGGGCUUCAAACCUUCGUAAUAGUAUUAGAGGAGAGUUGCUCCGUUAUACCAUGUUGUGGGCAGCUUGCACACAAUUUCUUAAACCGUUCUCAAUAAUCGUAAAGGGACUCAGCUUUUUUUUGUCUUAUUCCAACGAUCUCUCUUUUUAGCUCAGCUGUUCGAGACGCUGGAAAAAACCUGUUCAGAAACAAACGAGAUAGAUCAGCCCAAGUUGUAAUAGAUCCAGGAGGUAAAUAAAAUAACCAUUCCUUAGCGGAAUCUACUAGGGAGAAAGGGAAAGCACGCAAUUUAAUAUGAUCCUCAGUUACCCCCUAAGGUUUCAUGCUAAGACAAACCAUAUGAAACUCUUUCAGAUGCUUGUGGGGAUUUUCAUUUUGUAACCCACGAAAACUUAGCAGUAACUAGAAUAAACCUGACUUCAACUCAAAAUCAGUAUCCACAGUAGGAUACGCGAUGCACAAUGGCGGUUGUUCUGUCGGAACUUCGGCCAGUUGCCGAAUCGUUUGAGCCAUUGGUUGGUGUGCUAGAUUCGGGUUUUCGUUAACCCUAGCGUUAACCACUUCUUCUAGUGAGUCGACUUCUAUUUUUUCACUUUCAAGUGUUCGAGUAGGGUUUUCGUUAACCCUAGACUCAGCUUCGUCGUCGACUUCAAUUUCUGGCAAUGGGUUACUUUGAGUUCCAACCACCGCUGACUGUUUUUCCGUAACUUUGUCUUCUUGCGAUUGGCUCUAGCAAUCUUCUCAAUUUCUGAAUCGAACACAAAAGUAACUAGAGCAGAUCUGGUCAUAAGAAACAAAAAACAAGAUUACUACGUUGCCAGUCCCCAGUAACGGCGCCAAAAUUUGAUGCGGUCAUUGAAAGCACCAAAAAUAUCCUAUCCCUAAUAAAUAAUGAAAAAGAAUAGUAAAAGAGAAGUAGGGUCAAAUCCUUAGGGACUGGAUUUGCACAAUAUCUUAUUUCGUGAAAUCCCAGGCAGAAUCUUACCCAAGAAAAUCUGCAUUCUUGAAAAAAAAAAAAGAAAAUAACAGAAUUAAAGGUUUGGAUCUGGAAACGAAAAAUAAAAUAAAAACAGAAUUAAGAAUAUUGAAUCAAAAAUUUGAGAAAUUAAAAAUAGAGUUGAAAGAAAGAAAAUUCUUAUGGGAGAUUCCAGCCUCCAGUUGUCUCGUUCUGCCUUGGGUUCAAUCCUCGGCUUUUAGAUAAUCCUUCCCAAACAGAAUAAGCCAGUUAUAGUGGAAGAGGACGCCUACGACCACCAGCUCCAAGGAUUUAGACUUACGAUUUGGUGGAAUCCGACUCUAGCCAACAAUCGCUUCUAUGGGAUCAUCUUAUGCUAGAUCAACGCUUCUCAAUGGCGAAUCCUACGCCAUUUUGUCUCUUGGGCUCGCCAACCUCUGACGCAGUAAGCUAACGAACCGACUGUGCAACCUUCCCAAAACAUACAAAGCGGCCGCCUUUGCAUACGUUGAAAAGCUUACUUCUUAAGGGACAUGGACGAAAGCGUCAGCCCCGUAGUGCGGAGAAACGAUGAACACUCGUUAAGAAGGCUAAGUACGGAUUCUAAGCCUUAUGAACCCUUUUGGGGAUUUUCGACAACCUUUGGCUAGAUGGGUUUAGUGGCUCAUGGUUGUGGUAGAAAAGAAAAUAAAUAAAAUAAAAAUAGAGAUUUUAUUAAAAGGAAAUAUGAUAAGAACAAAAGCCUAGACUUUUGAGGAGAGAGUGUUUACAGAAAAAGAUGGGAUUCAUCUCUUUUGAGUCACUUCACCCUCUAUUUAUAGUGCUAGGGGAGAUAGUCUAAUCCUACUUAAAUUCUUAAAAGAUAAAUACAUUUAAUUGAAGAUAAAUAAAGAUAAAUAAAAUAAGAUCCUAAAAAGAAUCCUUAAUAAUUAUCUCAAAUAUUAAUUAUCCUAAUAUAAUUAAAAUAGAGUUUAAUAGAAUAAAAUUUCUUUUUUUGCAUUUCAACUCUUGUGUCCUCCAUGCUUGCACUUUUGGCACCAACUUUUCCUUGUGUCGCACAUUGGCCUAUUUUAUCUUUAAAUUGACACUUUUGGCCUUUAAUUUUGCUUUUGCCUCAAAUUUAGACCCUAUGAGAUAAAAUAUCAUAAAUAGCUCAAAUUAGUAGGAUCAUACUCAGAAUAAAUACAUAAUUAAUACAUAAAAUACGUUAUUCUAGAGUGUUAUCAGGGGCAUGAAAAUAAAGAGACUUACAUAAAUUAUUUGCAUAAUACAAAAUCAGUCUUUAAUAUUUACAUAUUUUAUUAAUUUAAGUUUUAUUUUUAUUUAGUUAAAUUUGACUUUAAACCCUUUAAAAAAAGUUGAAUUUGAUCAUCAACCUUUUAAAAAGAGUCAAAUUAUUAUUUAACUGAAAUGUUAACUUUUGAAAUACAUAUAUCAAUUCGUGUGUAUUUCAUAUUAUUUUUUUAAAUUUUUAUGAUUUUUUUUGAAAUUUUGUUUUUUGAAUAUUAUUAGAAAAUUAUUUGGUACAUUGUUAGUGGAGUCUUUAAACUCCACUAACAAAAUCAAUAGGUUAAUAAGAUUCUUACAGAGGUACAAUAAAAUAUUAAAAAAUAUAUAUUUUAAAAUAUAUAUAUAUGUUAAUUUUUUAAAAUUACUUGUGGAAUAAAAAUAAUAUAUUAUUGGCGUACCAAAUACUCACCUUUUUAAUUAAGAUUUACUUGUGGAAUAUUUUUUUUUUCUUAAAAAGAAGACAUACGAAAGUUAGUGACUUAUUUGAUUUAAUUUUGAUUUUUAAAUUUAUGCAUUUUAUUAUGAACUUUUAUUCUUUGUGUACUCUGUAAAAUUUGUCUGAAAUUUCCAAUUUUUAAUUUCUCACAUGAGUUUGAGAUAUAAAAAAAAUUACUCUUAGAAUUGGUGAAACAGGGUUACAGUCGAUACAAGAGUUCAAUUUAUGAUACGUUGAUGAUUUUGUUCUUCGAAAUAUUGUCUACAGGUAGGAUAUCAGAGUUCUAUUAUUAGAGUUCCGUUAAAAAGUCGAAAGUUCUAUUUUGGCCUAAGACUCUAGGAGUUCUGUUAUCGAUAUUCUAAUUAUGAUCAUGAUCUAUAAAAAAUAUGAGUAACCAGUGAUACGUAAAUGAAAAUUUUUAUGAUAUGAUAAGUCAUAAAUUAAGUGAAAAUGCAAGAAAGUCUAUGAUUAUAUGAAAGAUAAAAAUAAUUAAUUUAAUUUAAUGAUCUGUAAAAUUGAUCUGUAAAAUUGAAAAGUGAAAUAAAUGAAUUAUGUAAGAGAAUGUUCAUGAUCAAUAUGUGGUAUGUAAAUGACAAGGAAAAAAUUAUAUGACCAAAUACUAAAAUAAAUGAAUAAUGAAAUUAGCUAAAUACUUUGUAAGUUCAAUAGUAGGUAGCAUUAAAUAAAUAAAAUUAUGUUAUUUCAUAGUAUAAGUAAUUUUUUAAUUUGUUUUAAUUUAAAUUAUUUAAAACAUGCUAAAAUAAAUGAAUUGUUAAGCUAAUUUAGUUAGAUACUUACUAUCACGUUUGUAGAAGGCAAAAACAAUAAAGAUUCAAAUAAUUCCGCUUAAAUUUGGACCACUUCACUCCUCAAGCUUCAAGUUCAAGCUCUUUGAUAUAUAAAUUUUGGACCUUAAUUUGGCAUGUACUUAAGCUUAUUUGUAAUAAUGUGAAUUAUGUACGAAAGAUAAUGUUUUGUGUUAUAAAGUACCUCGGUUAUAAUGAAAUAAGAAUAAAUUGAAGUGACGAGUUUAGUGUUAAAUGUAGCAUCUCUUGUUCAAAUUUGUUAUCGGAUCAGGUGAGAGGUGUUACAGCUAGAAUAAAAAUUACCCUUUCUUUUUUCUUAAGAUAGAUGUUUUUUUUUUUAUUAAUUCGUACAUAAAAUGAUAUUUUUAUUAAAAUAUUAAAUUCGAAAAAGGAAUUUAAGAAAAAAAAACAUUUUAGCCAACAACAUAUUCUUUGUAGGAUCAAAAACAUUAAUGCAAGAAACUUAAAACAAGGAAUCAAAAGUCUAGAACAAGCAAUCAAACUUAUUUUAUAUGAUCCACCAAUAAAAUUUUAGAAUAUGAUAAACAAGCAAUCAAAUAUUAAGUGCACAAUUUUAGAUUUACUGUACAAGAGCCGAGAAUGAGAAAGCUAUCACAUCAAAUGGCUUCCUACAAUUAAUUAAACCGUGUUGCAGUACCUCUCUGGUAUCAACUUCCCUUGUAAACUUCUAUAAGCUGUCACUUCAAUUACCUUCAUCAACUUGCAGCUCCAAUCUAAAUUGUAGAAAACCAAUUGAUAACGAAUUCACAAUCCAUGGCUUGUGGGAUCAUAAUGCUAAUAACAAAUCAAUGUCUCGUUAUGAUUCACGUAAUCCGUACACCAGUGGAUAGGUGCAAGGAUUGUUUGAAUCAUAAGGGAGCAUUGAUUUGUUCUUAAUUAGCAUUAUGUGUCCAUAUACCAUGGAUCGUGAACUCAUUAAGAAUUGGUGGUCUACAACUCAGAUUAGAGCUAUAGGCUAACAAAGGCCAUUGAAGAAAAAGCUUACGAAAAUUACAAGCGAAGUUGAUGCCGGUAGGGGUGCUGCAAAUGCUGCUCAAAAUGAAAAGAGAAGAGCAAGAGGAGUACUCUCUCUCUCUCUCUCUCUAUAUAUAUAUAUAAGUAUAUACUCUUCUCCAUGCUGCACAUUAGUGCAAAAAAAGAAAACACACAAGGGACCAAUCUUAGAUCUUUGCAAAGGUCAUUUGAGAUCAAUGGAGAAGAACAAGAAAAACAAAGGUGAGGGGUUUGAAGAAAGAGCCAAAUAUAUAAAGGAAAAUUUGAGAGAGAGGAUGGGUUUCAUUUAAAGAUUAAAUGUUUCUUUUUUGGUAAAAACAUUUCUUUGGUCCCUCUCAAUUUUGAUGUUGAGCAAUUUGGCCCCUUUCUAAAAAUUUUGGAGAAAUUUGAUCAUUGUUUUUUGAAAGUGAGCAACUAAGUACAAUUAAUCACAACGUUUAUGUUUUUCAUCACUUCUACAAUUUUUUCUUCGUAUAAUAAAAAAUAUAACCUUCAAAGUUUGCACAUUUUGUCAAUUUGAUCUUAAUAUAACAAAUAUAACUCAUAACAUUUUCACAUUCCAUCAAUUUGGUCCUGAUUUAACAAAUUUAGUCCGUAAUAUUUACACAUUUUGUCAACAGUUACGCGGAAUAUAUAAACAUCAAUGGCUAAAUUUAUUAUUAUACCAAUCAAAAUUAUGUAUAAUCGAUGGAAAAUAUUAAAGCUAUGAUUAAUUGUCCGUAGUUACUCAUUUUUAAAAUUGACAGGAAUUAAAUUGUUCUAAUUUUUUAAAAAGACCGAUUUACUUAAUAUCAAAAUUGAAAAAAAUCAUAAAGAUAAUUUUACUUUUCUUAAUUUAGUAGGUAAGAAAAAUUAAAAUCAUUGAAAAAAAAAAGUAAGUUCUAUAUAAUUAUUUAGUCACUCUCACAUUAUUAUUUUUCCCAUUCAAAGUUGAAGUCUUUUAUGUGAAAAAUAGUAUAGCUCUUCAAUUUGGGUUAACAUUUUGGUCCCCGCCAUGUGAUGUGAAGGAAAAUUGACAACAUCACAUAAUCAAAUCAUUUUUUUCUGCCAUACCCUUGUGCCUCCGAAGAAAGUUAAAUUAUUAAGGCACAAAAGUAAAGAGAGAUACAUAUUUUUUUUAUUUUUUUAUUUUUAAAAUAUUUUUAAAAUACUUUUUUUAAAAAUAAAUUUUAGUGUUUAUUAAAAAAAUGGGCUGGGCCGGGUCGAGCUCGGGCUUAUAAUUUUUUUCUCGGAUCGGAUUUGGAUAAAAUUUUAGGCCCAUAUUUCGGGCCGGGCCAAAGCCAGGCCUAAUUGACAUCACCAGCUCAUUUUUCAACCACAUUACUCAAAUUGAGGUAAAAAUAAUUUAUAAAUGUAUUUCUUUUUUGUUCGAGUAUAAUUUGUAUUUAUUUCUAGCCAUUUUUAUAAAGUUAUUGUUUAAAAAAGGGGUAAUUAUCAAAUUUAUCUAUGAUUUUGAUCCAAUGUACAAUUUGAUACAAACUUUAAUUUGGUGCAAUUAUACACAUAAAACUUGAAUUGUAGUCAUAUGAGCACAUGAAACUUUGAUUUUGAUUCAAUUAUAUGCAUUUAAUGAAUGUAUGCGUUUAAAAAAAUGAAUACAUACAUUUAUUUUCAUAUUUGAUUAUAUACAGGGGCGAAACCAGAAAAUUUUGUAAGUGGGCUGAAAUUAAAUUGUAAUUUUUACGAUAGCAAAGAUGUAAUUUCACCAUUUUAAUGGCCUAUAUCUUUAUAAUUUUUAAAUGAUUAAAUCAAAUUUUAUAUUUUUAGGGGGACAAAGUACAAUUUUACCUUUACUAAUUUAAAAUUUUAAAAUGCCUAAAUAGAAAAUUCACCAUUUUAGGGGGACUGGGACCCCUGCCAGCCCCCUAGUUUCGCCCCAGAUUAUAUAAUAGUUUGUAUAUGCAAUAUAUCAAUGUAAAAUUGUGCUAAUUCAAUAAUAUUGUUAGUGAUUUCUAAAAAUUGAAUCAAAUCAAUAUUUCAUGUAUAAAAUUGUACAAAACCAAAGUUCAUAUACGAUAUAAAUAAAUAAAUAAAAAGUUCAUAUAUAACAAUAUACAUUAAAUCAAAAUUUAUAUAUAAUUUUGAUAUUUAUCUCAUUCUUUAUUAAUUAUAACGUGUGAACGAGGUGAAUCCAAAUUUUGUCAUUUAUUUUCCUAUCAUCUUUGCGAAAUAAAUUUCAACUUAAGAAGGAAAAAAUAAUUAACAUUUUCAAAUUCCAUCAGGAUAGACAUGUUCAUAGGCCAGGCUCUCGACUUAGGUUCGAAAGUUCACUCGAAUUUUGGGAGGGUUUGGACAGAAAUAUCAUGCCCAAAAAAUAGACUCGAGCAAAAAAAAUAGACCCGUUUAAAAUAUGGGUCGAGCUCAGGCUUGAAUAUUCAAGGCUCGAUCCUUUUUAAGUUUAUAACUUUUGAUAUUAUGUUAUUUUUAUAUAUUAUGUAAUUUAGAACACAAUAAAAAGGUAAACCUAUAAUAAAUAUAUAAUACUACUCUAAUGUAGAGGUGUCCAUGGGCCGGGCCGGGCCAGGUUUAGGCCGGGCCCAAAGAAAAUUUUUAGCCCACUUCCUAGGCCCGGCCCAGGGAAAAAAUAUGGAACCCGAGCCCGGCCCUGCCCAGCCCUUUUUUAAUUAUAAUUAAAAUUAUAUUUUUAUUAAAAUUAAAACUAAUUGUUAUCAAAAUUAAUUGUUAUUAAAAUUGUAUCAUUUUUUUUUGUACUAGUCAACAUUUUGUAAAAUCUAACAUUUUGUUAGUAAAAUUAUUAAUUGUUAAUUGUAUUAAUUGUUACUAAAAUUAUCAAAUUAUUAAUUAUUAAUUUUUACUAACAUUUUGUUAGUAAAAUUAUUAAUUGUUAAUUGUAUUAAUUGUUAGUAAAAUUAUCAAAUCAUAUCAAAUUAUUAAUUGUUAAUUGUAUUAAUUGUUGUAACAAAAUCUAACAUUUUGUAACUUAAAACUUAAAAUAAAACUAAAAUUAGUAUAUUUUAAAAAUAAAAAAAUAUAUUUAAUAUAUUUUCAGGCGGGCCGGGCCGGCCUGGGCUAAAAAUUUUGCCCGAAGCCCGGCCCAUGGACACCUCUACUCUAAUGUAAACAUUAAAAUAAUGUUAAAAUGACUAUAUAAAAAAUUUCAAUAAAUAAAAAAUAUAUAAAAUUAUUAAAUAUUAAAAUAAUAUAAUAUAAAUACUUUUAAAAAUUAAAAAAUAAUAUAAGCAAACCUAAAAUGGAUUUAGAUUAGUUUUUUGUAAAUAUGGCGCAUGUUUUGAUAAAAUUUUAGGCGCAAGUUUCAAGCCGGACCGAACUUAAACAAAUAUAAAGUAUCUUAAUAUUAUGCUUAAGCCGACCCAUCAACACUUCUACAUAAAGAUAAUAUAGACGGAUAGAUGUAGUUUAGUUCCACAAGUUCAAGCUUCAAAUUAAUACGAGUGUAUUAUUAGAAGUUUUCGUCCUCUGCAUUACUUGUUAGUUUAUGUCUUUUAAUUCAUUGAGAUGCAACAAGCAUGUAUGGAUGUCCAUCUUCAACCAUAAUUGUCUUCUAAAGAACUUUAUAAGGGAAGCUAUGCCACUCUAUUUAAGGGUUGGUUUUGGAUAUUAAAGUGUAAUUUUAUAAUUAUAUUAAUUUAAAUUUUUUUAAAUUUUAAAACGUGUAAAUGGCAAAUUUACUAUUUUCGGGGGGUCAAGGCUAUUGCCUCCCCUUGUCUUUGCCCUGCUAGUAGUUGACUACCACAGCCUUAUACGGUAAUACUCUUAUCGAAUAUAAAGCCUUGUUUAAAUGGAGAUAUUCAUAAGAGGAAAAAUACCAAAUAAUGCAAGCUCGCCCAUGCUUGGUCACUGUGACCCCCUUUGUGAGGAGGCACCUCUUCUCCCAAAGUUAAUGGUUAUUUUGUCAAGUUCCUUAGAGAGAGUUGUCUAACGCCCCUAGGUAUUCUCUACCGACCCACUUGUGUCGGUUUUGGGUACAAGUACCCUUUUGUUGAAGGUCGUUCAAGCUUUUCCUGGGAGUAUAGCAUGGGUUAUUUCAAUGUCAUAGCCUAGCACUCGAACACUGGCUUGAGACAUUUUCUCUACCCCUUCUUAUCCUGAAAAAGCAGGGGCACCUUAGAUCCUUAAACCAAUAACCAUUGCGGCUAACCUAGCUAUACAUCAUAUAAUUAAAAAGAUGAUAAGUUAAAAGAAAUCUACUCGGUGUUUGAAUUUUUAUUGAUUGGAAUAUGGUACAUUAUAUAAACAACAACGAAGAUGCAUAUGAUUUCUUAGAGUUUUCAUGAAAUAAUAAUUUUUACCAUUACCAGAAAGAAAUUAUAAUUUUGACUUCCACUAACAAUUUCAUAAAAUAAUAAUUUAUCAAUUCAAAAUUAUUCAAAUACAAAUUCAAAAUAUUUGAAUCAAAAUUAAAUUGGAGCUCCUCACUCAGGCUUCUACUUUUGUGCAUUGAUAAUUCAGUGGCAGCACUUCCCCCUUGCCUUAAUUGUUGAAAAUUGAAUAAAAAUUGUACCUUUCAUUUCCUUCCCUCAGACAAGUUGUUCAUUGUUGCUCCCACUCUUCAGUCUUCUCUAAAAUAAUGUAGGAAUCCCAAGUCACUAUAAUUAGGUGAUGAGGAUGGUACUUACUUAUUUUCCAAAAUCAGGGUAUUUAUCGUUAAUAAUAGUGAUUGAUUUUUUUGUUGCGAAUUUGUACAAGAGCUUAUGUAAGAGUUUAAUAUAGUUCAAUGAUUAUUUUAUAAUUUUUUAAAGUUAAAUAAUCAAAAUAGAAACUAAUUAACAAUUUAGCUAGAGAGCUUACACGUAGUUUACCCAAAAACAUAUCGAUAUGAUCCCCCAUUGGAGUCCGAAGCCAAAGCUCACAAAUUGGGUUAACAUUUGACAUUUGGGGUUUCAAAUUGAGAAUUAAUUGAAAUAGAUAACAAUUAGCAAUUAAUUGAGAAUAAACAAAUUAUAUUCCAUAUUCUGUAGUAUUGAAUAUAUAUCUCUUUUUUAUUCAAUUAAUUUCUCCAACUCAAAUUUAGCAAAUUAUUAUGGUAUGAGAUUAUAAGAAUGGUUUUUGGAACUAAAUCAGUGAGUGAAGUUGUAAAAUUACUGAUUUUCGAUUUAAUUACUUUAAUCAUUGGUCUAGUUUCGAUUAAAAAAAUUUAUAAAAAAAAUUAUUCAUGAUUUAGCCCAUAAAUUAUAUAUAUUCUCUCACUUUAGUCUAGUUUAGACUUGUCUAUGGCCCGGCUCGAAUGUCCACCUGAAAAGCGAGAUGAUUUAGGCAAAUAUAUAUGCCUAAAAAAUUGGUCUAUAUAAAAAAAUAAUGCUCAUUUUCUAAAUAGAUUGGGCCUUAGGUAAUCUUUUCUUGCUCAAUCCGGCCCGAAUUUGUAAAAAAAAAAAAAACUAUUGUUGCUUUUUUAUUAUUUUAUCAUUGUUUUACUAUCAUUUCGUUAUUAUAUUGUUACUAUUUUGUUAUUAUUAUUUGAAUAAUGUAUAACUCUUAUUUUAUUAUUAAUUUUGCUACUAUUUUAGAGGUAUUUGCUUAUUAAGUUGCACUUAUCUUAGUGUUUUUUAAGUUUUUUUUUAAUUUCUAUUUGUUGAGAAACAUUUAUUUCAAUUUUUUUAGUGUAUUUGAUGUAUUAUUAUUUUAAAAUUUAUUUUUAUAUUAAAAAAUAUAUAAAAAUUAAUACGGGCGAACUAGGCUGAAUUUGGGUUUUAACAUUUUAAUCUAAGUUGGGCCUGGAUAAAAUUUUAAACCUAUUUUUCGAGCUGAACAGAGCUCGGGCUGAAUUUAAGUUUUUUUAUACCUUAAAUCUAAAAUUUUUAAAUAAUUUAUUUAAUAAAAUCGAUUAAAAUAAGGGUUUCGACUCAAAUCAUGAUGAAUUGAGCCAUCGAACUUGAGAAAUUAAAAUGUGAACAGCAAUGGGCUCUUCAAAAACCCUUACCCUAGCACAAGAAGAUCCCCAAAAAGUUUCAACUUAUAACCCUAAUUUGCCUCUCAACUACACUAUAAAUCCUAUCUUCAACAAGAAUCAUUUAACAUUUGUAUCUUCUAAAAAACCCUCUUUCGUCUAAGGUUUUUCUUUAGAAAUUUUCCCUUCGCAGAGAGUAAUUUUUGCCUUCAUUUUUUUUUUCUCUUUGUUUUCCCAUUUUCAAUCUGGGGUUUUUUUUCCAGAAUGAGUUAAAAAUCCAAUCUUUACACUAGAUGUGAACCCUAAUCCCAUUUAUUUUAUCUGGGUUUUGAAUAAAAUCUGCACUUGUUUGUAUACUUAUGAAAUAAAGGAACCAUUUUUAAUGCAUUGUUUCUUAACAAGAGUGCAGAAAUAAAAAGCUUGAUUUUUUGCUUCUUUUAAAACAAAGAAACCAAGGAUUAAGCAGCGGCCAGACAACCGUAGCGAUGGUAUCCACAGAUGAAGGGCUAAGUUCUUUUUUAAUCCCUUUUUUGUCUACUGAUUCCAUCUCACAUUUCGUUUUUUAAAAUUUUUAGGGUUCAUCACUUUUGAAUUGAUUGAAAAAGCUUUAAUCAAAGUUGAAACUUAGGUGAAAAAAUGGGUUUUUUUUAUAUGAUUUUACCAUUUUCAAUGCUUUUUUAUGUUUUCUCAAUUUGUAAAAUCAAAUGAGAAACAACUCAAAAGAAAAAACACGACAUUAAUCUAUCAAUCAAUCAAACUGAUUUUGAUUUGAUCAGAUAAAAAAUCAUUAAAUAUCAUAUUCAUGGGAAUUGCAGAAUGCAGAGGUUUACUGUUGUAAUUUUUACGAUAUAUUGUCAGAUAUCUUUUACAUCUUAAUAUAUCAUUAACUAACAUAAACAACGCACCUAAAAAUCGAAAAUCGUAAAAGUCAAAUUUUUUAAACAGGUUAAAUUUUGAUAUUAGUCCCUAUAUUUUGUUAAAGUUAUGAAUUUAGUCCCUAUAUUUUUUAAAUUUUAAUAUUUUAGUCUUUAUUAAAUGAUAAUUGUUAAAAGUUUUGUUAUUUUUAAAAUCUAUUGCUUAAAAUAUAUUUCUUAUCAAAAAUUUAAUUAAUAGAUUAACAAUUGUUAUUUGAGUUGAAAAUGAAAUUUUAAAAAUCGCGACUUAAAAUUAUUCAAUUAAAACAUAUGGACUAAAUCUACUACUGUACUUACAAUAUAUAACUAGCAAUUGAAUUUAAACAGUCAAGAUUUAACGGUAACUAUUUGUGUAAAGACUAAAAUUUCAAAAAGUUUAGAGACUAAAUUUGACCAAUUUGAGAAGUACAAGACUAAAACUAACCAAAUUAGAGUACAAUGACUAAAUCCAUAAUUUUUAUAAAGUACAAGGACUAAUAGAAAAUUUUAACCUUUUUAAUAAAGCUAUUUUGAUUUUUAUUAAUUUAUUUAUAUAUCUUUAGCUUUGGUAAAUAUAAUAUUUUUAUAUAUUAUUCUGAUUUUUUAUUAUUUUUCAAAAGUUUUUACUUUUAGAAUGAAUGGGGUCUAAUUUAACCUUCAGUCCAAUUCUUACAACAUUGGUAAACACUAACAAUGCAUAAUUUAAUAAAAAUUUUCAAGUAAUCUAUAAAAAAACACUCAAAUUAAGUAAAUUAAACACACAUUUCAUUUUAAAUUAAAAUUAUAAAUAUAAUAUAUGUUAAAAAAUAAAGAUAAAGUAUCAUCAAAGCUGCGGGCUGCAAUCUUCCCAAGCCACUUCAGCCCCCAUUACUUCACCACUCUUUUUUUUCUCUUUUUACCAACACUCAAAAAUCAAAAUUUUACCACACUUUCCCUCAUUUUCCCGGAAAAUAAAAUAAAGAUAUUAAAACCAAACAAAAAUCCAAAAAAGGAACUCGGUGAAGAUUUAGGUUUAGACCCUGAAAGUUUUGCCAGUGAAAGUUUGACCAAAUUGCCAAUGAGAAGGAACAAUGUUCCACGAAGUAGAGGUCCGACGGUCGCUGCCGGUGACCCUAAACGACAGAGAUUGGCCGACUAAAAUGGCGUUGGAUUGCCAAUUUUGGCCCCAGUUUCUGCUCAUGCUCGUCCACUCCGUUUUCGACCCUUUAACGCUUGCUUUCACGAUAUCGCUGGCGCUGGCCACCUUUGUGAUUAGGGCCAAGUUGAAGUAUCGGAAACCGUUGAUUGUGAAUCUGAUUCCUCCUCGUUUCCGGCAUGGCACCCUGAAGAAUCAUACGAAAAAGGAAAUGAAGAUUGGGUCAAAUCUAUUGACACUAAUUGUUGAGAUGAGAUUAUCUCAACAUAUUGGUUAGACCGCGAAUCAAUUAAAGCAUCAAUUUAGAGAAAGUAACUUGAUCAAUGAACUUGAAAUUGAUACAAAUCAAGAAAAUUACCAGACAAGUUAACUCGGGAUUUGAUAUAUCUAAGUUUGAUUUUUAUUUUAUAUAAUUUUAAUUUCGGGUUUAAAAAUAAAAAGCUAAGGGAAUAUACCUUCUAAAAUAAAGAAUAAAACGGGCGCACCUUUCAGCAUGGUCGCGCCAACCAGUUGGCUUAUCCUCUGUUCUAUUGGCUAUUGCUAAUGCCUUGGAAAUUGAAAAUUCACCUUACUUUGAUUAGUGAAUGGCCGAAUAUGCUUACAAGAAUAAAUUAAGAAAUUCAACGUGGCUUAACAUACAUUUGUAUUUACUGUCACAUGAAUUUGGAUAACAAAGAUUGAGAUGGAGAGAAAAAUCAUAUCCAAUUAUGUUUAACACUAGCAUUACAUAAGCUCACACAGAUUGAAGAAAACUUCUCAUAUACAAGUAGAAGAAAUUUCCGAAUGAACAAAGCCAGUCUUCGCAUCCUAGUUGUUGUUCCAUUCAAUCUCUGUAUGCCCAAAAGAAAAUGAGUUGAUAAUAGGAAAUAUCAUUGUCGAGAAUUCAAGACUCAAGAGGGAGCGUAUAUAAUUAAUCUAUACUAUAUUGCUAUACAUAUGCCCUCAAAUAUUUUUAAAAUUAAUCGUUCAAAUCUAAAUAUAUAUUUGAAAAGAGUAUACGAUAUUAUAAAGGAUUGUAAAAAUCGAAAUAAUAUUUAAUUCUAUAUCGUCUUCUAGAAAGAACAUGAGCUAUGGUGAUAAAAUAUUGGAAUUAUUCCUCUAAUCUCAUUUAUAUCAUAAUUUAAAUUUGAAGAGCUUAUGAGUAUCGAUGAGAAAACCCACAGGGUCUUUAAUGAGGGAGUUGUUUUAAUUUCUUAAGGAAGCCUUUACAAACAGACAUAAUUAUUAAUUGAUCCAAUUUCAACAGGAUAAAGUAGGAUCAUAGGAUAAGGGCUUCGACAGAAGCAACUUUAUUCUUUUUCUCUUUAUGGGAUGGAUAAACCACAAUCGAAAUUAUAAAUUGAGGGGAAGCAAAAUAAAUUUUACCCAGUUUUGAAUACGUCGUAAUACUAAAAAGCUUUUAGAUAUACUUUUUCUUUUAAUACCUAAAUUUAUUUUUGUCUAUAUUUAAAAAUAUCAAUUUUUUCUAUUUUUAUUUAUUUUGUAACAGAUAUUAAAAAAAGUUAUUAGAUAACUAUGAUAAAUGAAAAAGUGUCAUAUGACAAAGUUUUGGUCAAUAAAAAAAGUUACGGAGAAAUUUAAUUUAUUUAAAAUAAAAAUAUUAAAUUUAAAUUUAAAAAGUUAUAAUAUUAAAUAUUAAAAUAUUAAAUUCAUUAUCGGAUCCUGCUUUUCCGCAAGUGGUGGGAGCGUGCAUCCAUUAUUGCUUAAAAGUUAAGCUUGUAAAUUUACAAUCAAGGCAUCCAUCAUUUUCUUCAUCCUGGGUAAUGAUAAUUCGAGAUAAAUGUUCCAUUUCCAGUUAAAAUAAAAAUUUUCUCAAGUUAAUUGUUUGAGGAGUAAAUUUAAAAAUAAUAAUAAGAUUGUUUUCUAAAUUAUAAAAAUAAAGAUACAUCAAAAUUAAAAUUUUAAAAAUAUAAAAAUUUAAAAAAUUAACAUAGAAUACACGUGGAUUGCUAUGUAAGUUGUCGUGUUUAAAAAUUUAACAUUUUAAUUAGUAUUCUAUUUUUUUUUUUAAAAUCAUUUCAGCUCUUUUUCAAAACUAAUAAAUAAGAUUAGAAAACCAAAAAUCGAAUAAAGAAUCGAAAUUAACUAGAUGUUGAGGCUUGUUUUACACAGUUUCCUUAAGAUAGAUUUGUCCGCUCCUACGGUACUUGGAGAAAUGUUGGUCGACUGUCUCUCAGGAUACAACAAUACGAUGACCAAAACAGUAACACCUCUACAGAGACCAAUAAACAAACCUUGCCUUUUAAAUUUUAUCACCGGAAUGUUGGAAAAUAUAGAGAUAAAGAGAGAAGAAUUUUCAAGAGCAAAAUAAACUUUGUUUUAGAGUCUUUUAGUGUAAAAAAUUUUGAAGAAUUCUUAAGCAUUCAAGAUGGAAGAAUUUUGGAAAUAUCCAUAAUUAAAUAUACAAAGUCUGUACUAAAUGAGCAAUUAAAUCAUAAUAUAUGUCCUUUUUAAAUUAGAUUAUAUAUAUAUUUGCUGAGAAAAAUAAAUUUUGUUUGGACUUAAAAUAUCCAUAGGCCCGUUUUGGGCCUGACCGGUAUAGACAUUUCACGUUGCCCACGUCGUGCGAGCGCGCUUUAACCCCAAUGGGUUUGGAUCUACACCCCCUGUGCGUGAGACAAAGUUUCAAACUUAGUCAUCCAAUCAUCCUUUAGGUAGGUUCUCAUAUAUAAACACAUCUCAUACAUGGUAUUUAAUAAAUGUGAGAUCUAAGCUUUUUUUUCCUCAACAAAUAUUCACAAGUAACUUACUUUGAGCAUUAAUUUCUCACUUAUCACUCAACCAUUUUGAGCAUACGAUAUACUGUUGUAAAGGUAUCAUGGAAUAGAAUAUAAAAUGAUAAUUUUAUGAUUCAAUUCUCCACCUGUACCAAUUGAGAAUAUGCUAGUUUUUAAAAAUUACAAUUUUUUCAACAUUUUAUACAUCUAUUUUAAAGGUAUAAUCGAGCCAAGCAGAGCCCGAAUAAUGACAAGCUUGAACUUGUUUCGAAUAUCACUUGUUAAGCUCAAUCUUGAUUCAGAACAUAAUUGAGCUGAUUAAGCUCGUUUAUCAAAUUUUAUAAUCAAACUCAUUCAUAAUUAAGCUCUUUCUAUAUAUCAAGGAUAAAAAUAUAAUUUCAUAAAUAAAAAUAUAUUUAAAUGGAAUGCUUAAUUAGGUUUGUGGGCAACUUGAAUCAAGUAUAACAAUAUUUAAAUUCGGCUCGAUCAAUAGCUCGAGCUCUACUCAAUAAUGUUCAAUAAAAUUUUAAGAUUUUUUGAAUCCAACUCGAAUAGCUUGCAAAUAUCAAUGUAGCACUUAUACUCUUAAUUUUAAAUUUACAUUUUUAAUUCUUAAAAUAUUAUUAAAAAGUUCUUUCUUUCUAAAAAGAAACACCCAAUCAAUUGAAAGGCUUUGUAGAAAGUGGUGGCAAAGUGCAUUCUUUACUAUAAGUCUCACUAUAUCUAAAAAGAAAUUAACGCGAACCGUAGAAAGUGGUAGGAAUGUGCAACAUUAUUGCUUUAAAAGAAUUUAAAUCUUCAUAAUUUGGAGGAGUUAAAAGUGUAAUUCUUUUUACUAAUUUAAAGUUUUAAAAUUUUUAAAGAGUUAAAAUAAUAAUAUUUUAUUUUAAGAGGGUCGGGCUCCUACCAGCCCUUGGAUUCGCCUCCAUAAAUUUCAAAAUUCAAUUAAAUUAUGUUAUUUUGAAUAAAAAGUUAAUUGAUAAAGAAAUUCUUUAAAUUUCAAAAAUUCAAAUUUUAUGUUUUAAAAAAAUAUUAAAAUUUAAAAAUUAAAAUAUUAAAGUAAUAAUUUUUUUCCCAAUAUCAAUGUCUUUUUGAUACAUGCAUGAAUGUGGUGAAAUUUAUUAGAUUCCAAUUAUCAAAACUGCCAAUUUUCAGGCUUGGGAAAUCAGCAGACUUGCGACGACUGGAUCCUAGCAUUUUUGGGUUGACAUGUCCCAUGGCGUUUGAAGAUCUGUCCCUUAGCUUCGAAAUGCUUUUUGAAUCACUCGAUUUUGAGUUUGAGAGCUCAAGUUAAGACUGUUUUAGUAAAGACUGCGCGAGCAGAAUUUCUAAAUGGGUUUAUGACGGGAAUUACGAAUUUUGGGCUUUUAAUUCGAGUUUAAAUCGUAUUGGAUUCGAGUUUUAGACUUAAUUUUUAUUAUAUAUGAGCCUAAUAUUAUAUUUGUCAGAUCUUAUUAUUUUAUUAUUAUUUUAUUCUUAAUUUUUAAUAAUUAUUAAGUAUUUUAAGUUAUUUAGUAGUUUUAUGUUAAUAAGAAAAUUUAGUUUAAAACUACUUAUUGUUUAGAUUAAAUUAGAGUUCUAGUAUACUUAAGAAUUUUAUUUAGACUUAUUUAGCUAGCCUAUAUAUAGGCCUUUGCAUUGUAUACAAUUCAUUCAGUUCAUUAUUAUUCUAUUUCUCUUUUGAGUUAAUAAAUUCUCUCUGGGUUUUUCUUUUCAAGAAUUUCUCUUGAGUUAGUUUUAACAAUCUUUUUAGAUUAUAGGGAUCAUCUUCAAACUUUUUCUUACCAAGAUUUUUUUCUUGGAGGGAAAAUUAGAGCUGCUUGAAGGAAGUUGUGGAUUCUUCGUGUUUCCAAGGCUUAUUAUGACUUUUACACGCCACGUUCUAUCUUUCCAUUUAUCUUCUUUAUUCUCUUCCUUAAUCUUUGAUUUAUUAUUUUAUUUUAGUUAUUUAUUUAUUUUAAUUUUUUUAUCAGACUUGGAUUCAAUUUCGUUUCAGGUUGUGUCAAAAUACAAAUUUCUUUCCGAAUGUCUAGAGCCCUAAGUCAAAUCCGCGACUUUGACAAACUUUACGAUCCGCUUUUGCGUUCAUCCAUCUCAUCCUUUGUCAUUUGGUAUCAGGUUUGGAAGUUUUAGGUGUUCUUUUUAUUUUAUAAACUGAUUUCUAAAAAACAGCCUCAAAACAAUUUUUUACCCCUACAGUUUUCAAAAAAAUAUUUUUCAAUGGGUAAACGAUUUUUAAAUGAUUUGAAAUUUUACAUACUAUUUCUUGACUACUUUUCUUGCUUCUAUCGAUGCAGAUCCCGACAAGCCUUUAACUAUCAUGAGAAGUAAAGGAUAAAUACACUACCUUUGAUAUAAAUAUGAUUAAUUUUCCUUGAAAUAUUAAUUAUUAAAUACAUAUUAAAAUAUAGAUAUAGGAAUACAAUCUUUUAUAAUAAUCACCCACUAUAACAUCAUUUCGUUGUAAUUAUUAAAUUUUUAAUAAAACCGAUAUUAAUAUUUUAUUUUAAUCUUCUAUAACAACUUUUUCACUUAUAAUAGUAGCAUUCAUAUUUAUGAUGUAUAUUCUUUAUUAAACUAUUUCUCUAUAGCAUUGUUUUGUUUAAAUCUUUAAGUAAUAUUCUAACUCUUUUAACAUAAUUCUCAAUUUUUUUUUAUUUGAUGAAAAUUUACGAUUAGUUCCCUAUAACAAUAUAACGAGCACCAUUUUAUAAAAGAUAAAAUCUGGACAGACAAAUAAAGUAAUUUCAGUUUAGUAAAUUGUAUUUUAUUUCUGAAUUAUUUAGACUAAUUGCUUUUUAUCAAAUGGUUAAUAUUUUUCCAACACCAUGAAAAGCUGAUCUCAAUAAGUUCCUGUUUAUAAAUCAUCAGCAAAACACAAUAAUUGGCGUUGGCGAUAGUGUGUUCCUUUCUUUUGUCACCUUUUACCAUACGCGAAAAUAAUUGGCGAUAGAGUGUUGCUGUCUUUUGUCAACUUUUUAGCUGUAUCCACCAAAUGAUAAGAAUCCAUAAAGCUCCACUCUCAAGUAUUUGUGUUUCUUUAGGAUUCUAUUGUUUACAUUUUAAAUUUUGUUUAGACUGAGUUGCCCUUUGUCAAAUUACUUCUCGCAUUACUCUGUUAAGAAUAUUAUCUUUUCGCUCGGUCGUAACUGCGACAACUAUUCGCUGAAUCCUUCUCUUAUACGUUGGAAAGGUACGCCAUCUGCUUUCGUUUUGGUUGAUUUGGUCUUACUUCUUGGUUUAGAGAAGCUUUACUUUUUGCUCAUUUUAUUUGUAACUUUUUCUUCUGAUUUUGUUUUGGUCUUUGUUGUCGCUGUGGUUAUUCAGUUUACUUCUUGUCUGAUCUCUCAAUGGAGUUUGUUACUAGCCUAGUUGGCUCUAUUGUCACUAAAGCUGUAAAGUAUACGAUCUCUCCUAUCAAAAACCAUGUCAGAUACCUUUCCAAUCAUCAGCAAUAUGUUGAGACCCUCAAGGACUAUAUGUUUAGUUGGUAAAAAAAGGGAAAAAAAAAGAAGAAGAAGAAGAAGAAGAAAGAAAACCACUUUGCUUAGUUGGUAAAAGCCAAAGUUGUGAGUAUUCAAUAAUCAGAUUCGGAAUUUAGAGUGAGAGUAUAUAGAAUAUUUUCCCAUUAAAAUAUGUUUUGGUAUAAGACAUUUUAGGGCUGUUGGCUAGUCAUUUCUGAGCUGUUUCCACGAGACUUCCUUUCAUUUAAAGUAAGAUGAAGUCAUCUUUCUCAAAUCACUACUUUCUGGGUUUGCUCUGUUAAGAAAAAGAAAAAAAGACAGAUGGAGAUUGUUAUUGCCAUCGUUGGCUCUAUUGUAGCUAAAGCUGUAGAGUAUACGAUCUCUCCUAUCAAAAACCAUGUCAAAUACCUUUCCAAUCAUCAGAAAAAUGUUGAGACCCUCAAGAACCGAGCUAAUAGGCUGAAAGAUGCAAGGGACGGAGUGCAGCAUUCUGUUGAUGCAACUAAACGAAACGGUGAGGAGAUCGAAGGUGAUGUUGACAAAUGGCUGUCUGCAGUCGACAAAAUGAUCCUUGAACAAGUAGAGAAAGUGAUGCAAGAUGAAGAAAGAGCAAAGAAAAAGUGUUUCAUUGGUUUGUGUCCUAAUUUCAGGACUCGUUACAAGCUUAGCCUGAAAGCUGAAGAGGAGGCAAAGGCUGUUGCCGAGCUACUAGAACAUGGCGAGUUUGAAAGGGUUUCCUAUCGGGCAGCUCCGCAAGGUAUCGUGGUUGCACCAGUUAAAGGCUAUGAGGAAUUCGAGUCAAGAACGUCGAUUUUGAACGGAAUAAUGGAGGUACUAAAAGAUGAUAGCGUCAGCAUUGUUGGGGUGCAUGGUACGGGUGGGAUUGGAAAAACAACGCUGAUCAAAGAAAUCGCUAGAAAGGUCAAGGACAAGUUGUUUGAUUCGGUUGUCAUAGCAACCGUAACUCAAGCCAUCGAUAUUGAGAAGAUUCAGAACCAAAUUGCAGACUUCUUGGGCUUGAAAUUUGAGGAGCAGAGUAUGGUUGGAAAGGCAUUUCGACUACGAGAAAGAUUGAAGAAAGAGGAGAGGAUUCUGGUUGUCUUGGAUGACAUUUGGGAAAAGGUUGAUAUUGAGGAAGUAGGGAUUCCUUUGGGAGAUGAACACAAGGGCUGCAAAUUACUACUAACUUCUAGAGAGUUCAAUGUUUUAUCAAAUGGGAUGGAUGCUCAGAAAAACUUUCACAUUGGGUUUUUAAAUGAAAAGGAAGCCUGGGACCUGUUCAAGAAGAAGGCUGGCGACUGUGAUGAAAGUUGUGAUUUGAAGCCUAUAGCUAUGGAGGUAGCCAAAAAAUGUGCAAGACUGCCGAUAGCCAUUGCGACAGUUGCAGGGGCUUUGAGAAACAAAAGAUUGUUUGAAUGGAAGAAUGCUUUACGAGAACUGGAGAGGCCUUCGUCAACCAACUUCACGGGGAUAGCUGCGGCAUAUUCAGCCAUAGAGUUGAGUUUUAAUUAUUUAGAAAGCGAGGAAGUUAAACUGACUUUCUUGCUUUGCAGUGUAAUAGGCCAUAAUGGUCUCGUUGAGGACUUGGUAAGAUAUACUCUAGGUUUGGGUUUAUUUGAUGGUGUCAACACUAUGGAAGAAGCUAGAAAUAAAGUAUUGACGGUUGUGGCUAAUCUCAAAGCGUCUGCCUUGUUGCUUGAUAGUUAUAAUGAUAAGCACUUUGAUAUCCAUGAUGUUGUUUGGGAUGCUGCUAUAGCUAUUGCAUUGAAGGACUACCGUAUGCUUGUUUUGAGAGAUCAUGCUCCAAAGGAGUGGUCCGAUAAGGAGAAAAUGAAGACGUGGUGUGUGAUCNNNNNNNNNNNNNNNNNNNNNNNNNNNNNNNNNNNNNNNNNNNNNNNNNNNNNNNNNNNNNNNNNNNNNNNNNNNNNNNNNNNNNNNNNNNNNNNNNNNNGCUUACGUUGUCCUCAGAUUAUAGCUAACCUUCCUAAGGAGAUGGAGUGUUCAGGACUUUCCUUCUUCCAUAUGGCCUAUGAUGGCGCGGUUAAAAUUCCUCUCAAUUUCUUCAAACAAACCGUUGGCCUCAAAGCCUUAGAUUUGGUCGGAAUGCAGUUUCCAUCCCUCCCUGAAUCA